Molecule: long non-coding RNA, 81539 nt
Filed under: Ananas comosus (pineapple)
Lineage: Eukaryota; Viridiplantae; Streptophyta; Magnoliopsida; Poales; Bromeliaceae
Description: long non-coding RNA (ACOM_LNC006965)
Source: RNAcentral
CCUCGGGGCAAACCGACCAAUAGGUCAUCAAACUAUAUAGAAGUAUAAGGACCGACUACUCAGGUCAACUAGGAAGGAAUAACUCAAUAUCCUACCGAAGGUAUACAAGCACUGACUACUAAAGUCAACUAAUAUAUAUGCACAACGAACCGACGAAUAGGUCACCAGAGUAUAUCACUAGAAUCCCGAAUUACCGUCGGCCACUAGCCAACAAUCCAACCCCUCAAUGGGCGUACAACCGACCUCACUAGGUAUCAAACGAUCAGUCCUCACGAAGCUUACUUACUAGUCACAAACAUACCAAAUAUUGGAUAAACUGAGUAACGACCUAUUAACUCAUCCGUCGGCGCUAAGCCGACAACUCCCACCCUUAGGGCCUUAGUACGCGACCUCAGGGUCAUCGAACGACAGAAGUCCAAGAAACAGGACCAAUCCAAGCUAAUCAUAAUUGCGCACAACCGACAACACCAGGUCAACAGAGUAUAGAGAUAGAAAGCAUCCGAUCAUACUACGGUAUUCCGAACGUGAAGUACGAGAACCGGUACCAAUCAAAAGUCACCGAAAACGAUCAGUACGAGAACCGACAAUCAGUCCACGAUAUCACAUAUGGAUACAACUACCUCUACUCUUCCACACAUGAAUACUAAGCAUAGAGACAUUUAUAGUAGAGUGAUAAUAGAAUCAACGAGGAGCAAGCUCAAUUAUAUCAUACUGAUAACUAGCAAAAGUGAGAACAGGAUAAAGGAAACCAUCAUCGAGCGGCCACCACGGUGUACCGACUUCGGAUCGAUGCAGCGUUAGCCCACUGUACAAAUACGUUGCCGUGUCUCUCUCGUGCUGUGGAAUAAGGGCAUCAACCGCGACCUAAGAAGGUCACCGGGGUUAGAGUCUUAACCCACAAACCUUAACAAACCACUAGCUCUCAAUCACAACAACAAAACCCACGACUGAUCGGUUUCUAAAAUCGCGACUUAUCGUACAUCUCGCCGGAAAGUCCGCUAAUCGCGCACGCGGACUCCGUCGGACCUCACGACCUCUCGGAUCGUACCACUCAUUGUACGAGUCAUGCCGCUGCACUAAUACAUAAGUUAAUCGUGCCAUCAGUGGCAGCAACACGUCGCCUCAGUUGGUCUCCGUUCCUGAAACAUAUACCGUCGAUCAUCUUUCGAUCGGGUCCCUGAAGGUCUAAGAUUCUUAUUUCUAUUUUGUCUGGAUUUGUCUUUAUCCUUUUUUUCGCCUGACCCGGUCAUUGAGCGCUUUCCGAACCUUAUAUGAUUGUUUUUGUGCCCGCUCUGGUAUAUCAUCUGAGGGUCUUUCUGUGCGUAUUUCUACACAUUCAUGUCAUCGAUAGCUCUUUAUUCUAUUAUACCUGGAUCGACUCUCUGCUGAUCUGAGGAAACGCGCGAUAAUUCUCUUUUUUUUAUAUCUAUAUAGGCUUGGGCCUUGAUGUUGAUGGUUUCUAGUCUUCUGACUCAGCUGUCACAAGCAGCUAGCGACGCAGCUCGCGGUAUGUCUAAACGGCUAUAAACGGCCCCUAAGGUCGACACAUGGAAAUUCACAUUCUUUAUAGUUAUUUUUCUUCAUGCCUUAUGGAUCGUCUACCGACGCAAAGCCAGCGGGGCGAUUAGGACAAAAACACGGCUCUCGGCUGACUAGAUUCAGCGGCCAGAGGCCGUGAUCACCUUCCGAGCACUCCGGCCACUGCGGACGCGGCGCGACGAGCGACGCGGAUUCAGCUACGUGUGACAACACGCGCGCACAGCGCAAAGAUUGCCCUGUACACUCACGAAACCGGCACCAACUGUACCCAAACGCAGCGAGCGUCUCGGUGUUCAGCACGAGCCCACGAUCUCAUGUGCUCACUCCCGGCUGGGUUCGGUAGUAUCGGAAUUCACCGGGAAAGGUGACCGAAAACUUAACUGACAAGUGCUGAAGCAUAAUACAAGCCACUUACCGAGCAGGUUGGGAGCUAACGGGCUGGCCGCGUGGCUGGCCCAGGACGGCGAGGCGCCUCCGACCGGGGAACUGGAGCAAGUCGGGCCGAGGGUCCGGAGUGGUUCUUGGCCGGGCGGCGGCGGCGCAGCUGUGGCGCGACGGGCGAAGAUUCACAGCCCACACAGUCCUCUCUGGUUCAAGGCCGGCGAGCGCGAUAGCACGGGGUGGCGGUCCGAGGGAGCUCGGACGGCCGGCCCUGAUCGGCCGGAGCCGAGGGGAAGGUAGGUGGCACCUACGGUGCAUGCUGGCGGCGGCCCUCGGGGGGCGCACGCUCCAAAGUUGGCUGCAUGGGCUGGCGGGUCAAGGAGUCCAGCGGCGGCCGGGCGGCGGGUACACACGGGGGAAGCUAGCGGAGGCACUGAGGUCGCUUGGGGGAGCGGCAGCCGAGAAGGUAAGGUGGUGCGUAGCCCCGAACUCGAGGUUUGGCCCGCCUGGUCUUGCGGACCCGGCUGGGCCGCAGCUCCUCAGAGCGGCUUCGGCGGACGUCCGGCAUGGCCGGAGCCGGGGAAGAACGUGCUGGAGGUGGAUCACGGCCCGGGGUUCCUUCUCCAGAGGUGGUGGAGGCUCUUCUACCAUGCAGUCGGCCAAGGGUGGGAGGGAGGUGGCCGAGAGGUGGACUAGGGAGCUAGCUGCGGGUUUCCGGGCGCUGAGCAGCUCGCGGUGGCCGGGGCCGCGCACGGCAGGGCAAGGCUCACUGGGCGCGUAGGUGUCUGGGGCAGCUGGGGGCGGAUUAGGGUUAGGGUUCCAUAGUGAACCCUAGCUACACUUAUAUAUUUGUAGGGUGAACCAACAGCCAAACAGUCCCUCCAAACCUCGAAGCAAAUUCAAUCCGUAGCCCUCACAGCUGUGAGUGAAAACGCUACGAAUACCCCUCCACCCUGCGAUCUCACGCGAAACGGGUAAGUUUAAUAAUUGCGCGGACCUGUCCGAGAACAUUACUUUGUGCAUCACCGACCUCCCUCGGAUCAAAUCGCGCAAUCGUCCGCAGGAUCCGUCCGUCAGAUUUGGCGAAGUCGGAUCGCACUUCAGUGCGUAUCAGCAUGACAGGAACAAACAAAGCUACGAUUUCGACUCAUCUCGAUCAGAUACAGACAUUCACGACAAAUCGCAAGUCUUUUUCAACAAGAAAGAAAACAACCCAAAUACAUAGCUAAAGACAUCAUUCUAGGAUUUUCUCGAAAUCGUUGUCAAGACUCAAAGUCGCCAGCGCCAAAAGUUUCAUGAACAGCUGGGAUAUCCGGGUCGAACGAGCUAUUGGGACUGCUAUGAACGGAGUCUGAUACGAGCCUGAAGCCAACUUCACCUAUCAUGCUUCUCCUAAAAUCGAAGGGUUACUUAUUCACUUUACACGUGAAACCUGGAGAUCGCGUAAGUUCUCCGUUCCUACUUCAGUUUCUCCUAAGACUUGAGCGUGCUUCAUGUAAUUAAAUUACCACACAUAAGCAUCUAUCAACAAAGACUUAGUUGCCACUGUGCCCAGAAUCUUCAGUCCUUACAAUGUGAGCAGACUGUCAGUCUGCCACUAUUCAUCCCAAAUCGCAUCGAAGCCUACCCCUGUGCCUAGGCCAACCCAACAACGAAAUCCAUUCGUGAUCUUUCGCAUCCACUCGGGCCCUGACAGAACUCGACAGCUUACCAAGCAGUGUACCUGAGUCAUGGUCGGCCUUUACCUGUGACAAGUCAGGCAUAUGAGCGUACAGAAUCUGCCAUGCUCCCUCUCAUCCCAUUCCACCAAAACUGUGCCUUCAAAUUCUUGAAUACAUCUGGGUUCCCCAUAGGGUGAACCGUAUAAGUUUAUCAAUGUAGCCUCCCUCAAAGAUGUCCUCUCGGAGUCUCUGAAAUCUACAGGCUACACACCAGUCGGUCCCUGUUUGUUUUUUUUUUUUUUUCUUUUUUAUUUUUCCCGCAGACCCCGAACUGUCCAAAAGGCAAAACCCGGCGCCACUGGCCCCCUAAUGUAAUGCUCUCGGAAUGGCCUCAGAACAAAUGCGGAUUCCACUGCUUUUGCUCCCGGAUCCUAUCCAUACAGAGUGGGCUGCCAAAGGACCAGAGACAUCAGUCUUGCCAGUAGCACCCAGGGAGCACCACCUCAAGCUCAGCCGCUUAGGCUCCGUCAAAUUGUGUAGCGGCUCGGCUGAGUGAUCAACAAGCUCGAAGCUUCGCCUGCCUUGCUGCUCAGAUGUCAUCUGCCACUAUAAUUUGGCCCGUGCACGGGAUGAUAACGAAUACAUCGGUCAUAGUCUUUCGAGUAACUCAACCACCGGCGCCUGUGCUCAAUUCAAUUCCUUUGAGUGAAACGAGAUACUGAGACUUUUAUGGAUCGGUGAAAACCUCGCGGGAGUGCUCAGCCGUACAAGUAAUGCCCGCCACACUUCAAAGCAAAGUAAGAAUACUGCGGCAAGCUCCAGAACAUCAUAGUUAUUUCUUCCGUCAUAAUCAUGUAACCUGCCGUGAAGCAUAAGCAAUCACCCUACCAUGAUGCCAUCAGCACUACAAACCCAGCCGGUGCGAUGCAUCACUACUAGAUCACAAAUUCCUUCCCCUCCAUCCACAGAAGGGCAAGGGAAGGAGCUGCACUCAAUUCUGUCUCAACUGCGUCGAAGUUACCUUCUGGCAUCCCUCACCCAUAACAAAUCGAAUCCCCCUUCCGUGGUCAACGCUGUAAGGGGUGUGGAAAGCUUCGCAAAGCCCUCCACAAACUGACAGUAAUUAUCCCUGCUAGUCCCAGAAAACUCUGCAACUCAGUCACGUCGUGCGGUCUAGCAAUCCCGAAUAGCAUCGAAUCUGAUACUUCGCGGUCUACUGCUACUCCUCUGCAGAGAAUCACGUCACCCAAGAAACGGCAGACUUCCGCAAACCAAAACUCGUCACUUCUUAUCAACUUGGCAUUACAGCUUCUUCUCUCGCAGAGAACUGUGUAGCACAGAUCGCUCAAGUGCUUCUCAUGCUCAGCAUUCACGUACGGAGGUAAGGCGAUCACGAAUGCUCAUCGAUGAAGACUACCACAAAUCUUAUCAAGAACGCUUGAGCACCCUGUUCAUGUCAAUCCGAUGAAUGCGCAGGGCAUUCGGCAAUCCAAAGGGCACGAUUGACCGUAACUAUAAUGCCCGUACCGAGUCCGAAAAAGCCGUUCUUGGAGAACAUCCUCGCCCUCAUCCUCAGCUGGUGGAACCGGACUGCACAGAUCAAUCUUCGAGAAGACGAAGGAAUCCCCAACUGAUCAAACCAAAAUGCACCAGAUGCGGGCAGAGAAUGUUUUGAUGGUCACUUAUUCCAGCUCCCGUAAUCUACGCACAACCUGGCGACCCAUCCUUUCUUUACAAAUGAAAUACCGGCGCUCCCCAACGCAUACACUGGGUCUCACAGUACCUCCGUUAUCCACAGAUCCUGAAGCUGCGCCUUUAGCUCCUCUCAGCUUCCGCCGGUGCCAUCGAAUAACAUGCGAACCCAUUAAAAAAAAGAAUGAAAAAAAAAGGUUUAAAAAGAAAAAGUGAAAAAACAAAAUCCAAAAAGGUGGUACCUUUUGAGAUUGGUGCAGAUUUAGGAGACUACAUCAAUCACAAACUCUAAUCUUCCCUCUGCAGGUGGCAUCGUCGUCAACUCAGGGCAAACAUCAUGAACUCGUGCGGACUACAGCAAUAUCCUCGGAGUCCCUAGCGGCCGCCGUAGGGCACCGCUCAACAACGAGUCGGCCAAGAAAGGAGAAACACCAUUCCUGCUAACUCAUCAAGCUGUCGAGCCCUCGCGAGAUAUUCGAAGUGCAAAGCAGUGUACUUCUUGGAGCCUCUUAAAGACUAAAUGCCUUCCUGGCCUGGAUCGUGAACGUCACUAUCCGCUCGCACAAUCGGUAGUAGCAUGUACGCUGCGCCAGCCAAAUCCAGUACCGAGCAUCGACGGUCGAGAUCCUGCAGGCUUGCCCUCAACACCAACAGGCUGCGGGCAUGGAUCCACGAGUCGUAAGACUUGCACCGACACGCCCAAACAACACUCCGCAUCCUGUAAAUCGAUGGUCUGGAUCUGCACCUCUCGUGCCUGAGACACCUCUGACAUCUAGACAUGCAAUAAGGCAAAUGCUCGGCUUGAAUAGACGAGUGAGAUGCACCGGAUCAAACGAGAGUAAGAAUCUAAUGCCAGAAAUCAAAGUGAUAGCCUGGCCACCACUCGUCGCCGCCGGUGUAGAGUCCUCCACCUCGUGCUGCAUAGACCCGCGUUGCCACUAGGAGCCGUGCUUGUCGCCGCUCAUCCUGGAUGCGGCACGGAUGCCCUGUCCUCCGGCGUGCGGUAGCGAUGCAGUGCUCAAAGACUGCCUGAGGGGCUGAUGAUGCUGGAAGGCGGUACGGAUGGCGUCUGGGUGAUACUGCUCGUGGGAGCAAGCUGAACCUUCAUAUGUGCCGUCGGGCUGGUUUGUUCCACAUCCAAAACAGUCCGACCUCACGCUGGUCGCAGCUGCGGCCAGUGGUGGUCCGCCCACAUGACUCACGCGCUCACGAGCAGUAACACCCCUUGGACUGCCUCUGCAUGCGAGGUCCCCUCAGAACGACCGAUGCCGCCAAGAAUCCACGACUCUGAGAACGCGAUCGUGGAGGUCUCGGCGGACGCCGGCUGCUCGACUGUCCACCAUCGUCUGAAGCUGGGUGCUUCCUAUCCUGACUCUGCCCCACGGCCUGAGUUCUCUCCUGCAGUGACACCUCACCUCUCUCCACCGACAAGGCCUGCUCUGUGGACGCAUCCAGAGUCCUCGACCUCUGCAUCCGCGCCAACCUGAAAAUGUCGGGUCUCAGCCCCUGCUCAAACAGAUAGACCCUGUGUGCCUCGUCCCUGGCCACAAAUGGCACACAGUUCAGGAGUCGAGUAAACUCCCGAAUGUACUCCUGCACUGGACGAUCCCCCUGCUGAAUCCUCUUCAAAUUCUCCUCGAGCUUCUGUUUCACACUGUUGGGAAAGAACAUCCCAAACAGCAUUCCACAGAACUCAUCCCAUCUCAACUGCAACGCUACCAGUCCCUGCUCUCUCCUCACUCUCCUCCACCAGGCGUGGGCAUCACCUGCCAAGCAAUGGACUCCCAAAGACACCUGCCCCCCCUCAGGAAUGAAUAGAUCCUCAAAUAACUUCUCCAUCGCACUGACCCAUCCCUCAACAACCCAGGCCUCAGUGCAACUGCCAUCGAAAAUCGAUGGAUCAAAACGGCGGAAACGAGCCAACCUCUCCGUCCACCGCUCCUGCUCGACCUCUGUCAACUGUACUGGCCCCCUAGCAGGCGCAACUGGCACUACUGGAACUGCUGCUGGCGGAGGGACUGCUGCAGCUGGUGCUGUCACUGAGGUAGUCGGAGGUGGAACAGACGACUCUAGUGCCCUCGGUACUGAACUCUGGGGCGAAGCUAGCCUCUCGCACAUCCUCUCCAACAACUCCCCCUGCCGCCUCGUCACCUCUGUCAGGCCGGCUAACUGUGCACUCAAGUCCGGGGAUGUACUCAUCUCCGAUCGAACACUCUGCUCCCGCUGGGCACUCGGCUCCGCAUGCUCAAGCAUCUCGGAAGGUCCCGCACGAUCCUGCGACAACUGGGCACGCUCCCGUAACGACGGUCGACCUCGGUGACGAUACAUAGCUAAAAGGAACAGAUCGGGGUCAGAUGAAACAUAAACACUCUCGACCCAAUCAACGAAAGUCUGGAAGGCGGUCCCUGUUUUCCUCCAAAAUUAUGUUGUCUGCAGCCAACAUAAUUUCUCAGGCCAAAACAGGCACUCCUUCAAUCACUCACCCCACUCUAGGAGGAGUUAGAACAAUUAAUCAUUGACUUUCGCAAUAAAUUACGCCUCUCGCGUCUUGCCUUCCUAAGGUUUGCCAAACUUAGGUUUUCUAGGUCCCAAUGACCUAAUGCUAAGCUCUAAUACCAACUUAAUCUGUCACGCCCUGGAUUACACAAUUCCCGGGCACGUCGACAAAUUCGCCGUAUACAAAGAAUUUUUCUUGUAUACGAAGCGUAUCGAUAACUGAAAAUAUACAAUACUACAACCAGUAGUAUAGAGCUAUAAAGAAACCAAACAGGUAGAAUAAAACAAGUCUUACAUACAUACAACAAAACGCUAUACAAAGGUACUCACUCCAGCGAGUUAUAACAACUGUAUGUACAUAAACUCAACAAAAUAAACCGAAACUACCUGCAGUGGUGGAUCCUCUAUCUAGCAACUCGUCGAGUAGGGCUCUAACUCGCGACGCCCUUGCCUCGAUCAGCCUCGGAAGGCGUAGCAACUAAAACUGGUGGCUCUGCAAAACAGUGGUAACAACUGGGUGUGAGAACUACUGUAAAAGCAAGUAGUCCUCAGUGGGUACCGCCCUCAACAUCAUCGGCCCACCCACUAAGACUACAGUNCUGGGGGCGGAUUAGGGUUAGGGUUUCCAUAGUGAACCCUAGCUACAUUAUAUAUGUAGGGUAACAAAUUGCGCCAAAGUCCCUCCAAACUCAGCAAUUCAAUCCGAGUCCCUCACAGCGUGAGUAAAACGCACGAAUACCCCUCCAUCCGCGAUCUCACGCGAAACGGUACAUAAAAUGUCGCGACUUUUCCAAAAUUACUGUUUUGCCAUCACCGACCUCUCCUCGAUCAACGCGCAAUCUCCGCAGAUCCGUCCGUCAGAUUUGCGAACGGAUCGCACCAGUGCGAUCAGCAUGACGGAGACAACAAAGCUACGAUUUCGAUUCAUCUCGAUCGACUACAGAUUCACGACAAAAUCCAAUCUUUCUUCCAACAGAAGAAACAACACACAAAUACAUAUAAAACAUGUAUUUCUAGAUUUUCUCGAAAUCCGUGUGUCAAACUCAAAAUCCGCCAGCGCCAAAAGUUUCAGAACAGCUGGACCGGUCGAAACGAGCUAUUGGACUGCUAUGAACGGAGUCUGAUACGAGCCUGAAGCCAACUUCACCAUCAUGGCUUCUCCGGAAAAUCGAGUUACUAUUCACUUUAAGUGAAACUUGGAGAUCGCGUAACUUCUCCGUUCUAGCUCAGUUUCUCCUGAAACUUGACGAGUGCUUAUGUAAUUAAAUUACACACAUAAGCAUCAUCAACAAAGAGUUUAGUUGCACUGUCCAAAAUCUCAGUCCUUACAAGUGAGCAGACUUGGUCAGUCUGUCCACUAUCACCCAAAUCGCAUCGAAGCCACCCUGUGCUCUAGGCAACCCCACAACGAAAUCCAUCGUGAUCUGUUCCCACUUCCACUCGGGCACUGACAGACUCUGAAGCUUACCAACAUGUACCUGAUGGUCGGCCUUUACCUGUUGACAAGUCAGACAAUGAGCUACAAAUCUGCCAAUGUCCCUCUUCAUCCCAUUCCACCAAAACUGUGCCUUCAAAUUCUUAUACAUCUUGGUUCCCCUAGGGUGAACCGUAUAAGGUGUACAAUGAGCCUCCCUCAAGAUGUCCUCUCGGAUCUCUGAAUCUACAGGCACACACAGUCGGUCCCUGUACCGCAGUACUCCCGAACUGUCCAAAGCAAAACCCUCGGCCUGCCCCCUAAUUAACUGCUCUCGAAUCCUCAACAAAUGCGGAUCUCCACUCUGUUUCUCCCGGAUCCUAUCCAACAGAGUGGGCUGCAAGACCAGAGACAUCAGUCUUGCAGUAGACCCAGGGACACCACCUCAAGCCUCAGCCGCUGUAGCUCCUCAAGUAGCGGUCUCUGCUGAGUGAUCAACAAGCUCAAGCUUUGCGCUGCCCUUCUGCUCAAUGCAUCUGCCACUAUAUUUGCCCUGCCGGGAUGAUACUGAAUACUAAUGUCAUAGUCUUUCAGUAACUCCAACCACCGGCGCUGUCUCAAAUUCAAUUCCUUUUGAGUGAACAGAUACUUGAGACUUUUAUGAUCGGUGAAAACCUCGCAGUGCUAGCCGUACAAGUAAUGCCGCCACAACUUCAAAGCAAAGAAUACUGCGGCAAGCUCCAAAUCAUGACUAGGGUAAUUCUUCUCAUAAUCAUUUAACUGCCGUGAAGCAUAAGCAAUCACCCUACCAUGCUGCAUCAGCACACAACCCAGUCCGUUGUGCGAUGCAUCACUAUAGAUCACAAAUCCUUCCCCCAUCACAGGAAGGGCAAGGAUAGGAGCUGUCAUCAAUCUCUGUCUCAACUCGUCGAAGUUCCUCUGGCAGUCCUCACACCAAACAAAUCGAAUCCCCUUCCGUGUCAACCUGGUAAGGNAAGGGCAAGGAUAGGAGCUGUCAUCAAUCUCUGUCUCAACUCGUCGAAGUUCCUCUGGCAGUCCUCACACCAAACAAAUCGAAUCCCCUUCCGUGUCAACCUGGUAAGGGGUGUGGAAAGCUUCGCAAAGCCCUCCACAAACUGACAGUAAUAUCCUGCUAGUCCCAGAAAACUCUGCAACUCAGUCACCGUCGUCGGUCUGGGCCAAUCCCGAAUAGCAUCAAUCUUCUUCGGGUCUACUGCUACUCCCUCUGCAGAAAUCACGUCACCCAAGAAAGCAACUUCCCGCAACCAAAACUCUCACUUCUUUAACUUGGCAUACAGCUUCUUCUCUCGCAGAAACUGUAGCACAAUCCUCAAGUGCUUCUCAUGCUCAGCAUCACUACGGGAGUAAAUCAGAAUGUCAUCGAUGAAGACUACCACAAAUCUAUCCAAGAACGGCUUGAGCACCCUGUUCAUCAAAUCCAUGAAUGCGGCAGGGGCAUUCGUCAAUCCAAAAGGCAUGACCGUAAACUCAUAAUGCCCGUACCGAGUCCGAAAAGNUCUGAAAAUUAAAUUUUAAAUAUUGAAAUUAAAAUAAAAAUAAAAAUUUGAAGUUUAAAUCCAAAAUUAGAAUCAGAUUUCAAGAAGCAGCUUUUUUCUGCUUCUGAUUUUGGAGCCUUCAAAAUCAAUUUUCUGAUUCUAAAAAGCAGAAUCAGAUUUUAAAAGUUAGUUGCCAAACGCUCUAUUGAGCCGAAAAUCACUUCUCAUCCCAAAAGCGCUUUUUAAAAGCUAGGCCAAACACCCCCUAUAUCUUAUAUAUAGAGAGAGUUUGGCUAUAUUACUUUUGUAAGUAUAGAUCCAUUUAUACUCAUAAUAUUCGAUCGUUAGAUCUAUCAUUUUGACUAUUUCUAUCUGUUAUAUCAUACUAUUCAACGAACCACUCACUCAAUCCUAUAGGAGACCACUAUCGUCCUAAUCGCACAUCCAACGACUGAAAAUUUAUAAGUAUAAAGGAGUCUAUACUUAUAAGAGUAUAGUAGCCCGAGCCUAUAUAUAUAGAAUUAGGCUACUAUACUAUUAAUAGUACAAACCGCUUGCUAUUAGGUUUUCGGCCCUUUGAUGAAGGGAUGUGCGGUCAGGAUGAUAGUAGCCCCGUAGAGUUGUGUGGGUGGCUAGUUGAAUAGUAUGAUCUAACGAAUGAAAAUGGCUAAAGAGAUAGAUCUAAUGGUAGAAAAUUCGAUAGCACCAAAUGCUUGGUAUUAUCGAUAGUAUAGUAGCCGGACUCUAUAUAUAUAUAUAGGUAGAUUUAAUGGCUGAAAACUCAAUAGUACAGAGCGCUUAGUACUAUCGAUAGUAUUGAUAGUAUAGUAGUCGGACUAUACAGAGAAAGAGAGAGAGAGACGGAGAGUCCGGCUACUAUAUUAUCAAAUUUUGUGUCGUUAGAUCUACUUUUUUGACAAUUUCCACCCGUUAGAUCAUAUUAUUCAACUAACCACCCACUCAACAUAUCCUAACUGCACAUCCCUUCAUCCAAGGACCGAAAACCUAAUAACAAGUGGUUGGUAUUAUUAAUAGUAUAGUAGACUAAUUAUAUAUAUAUAUAUAUAUAUAUAUAUAUAUAUUGAGCUUUUCGAGCUUAAUUCGAGCGAGCUGAGUAUUACUCAAGUUCGGCUUGAAAUUAAUUUUGAGCCUAAAUUUAGGCUCAAGGUUGCUUGAAAUAAAUUCGAGCCGAGCUCGAGCUAGCCGAGUAUCGAGCCAAACACGAGUCGAACACGAGCCGACUUGCUCAUUUGCUUGCCCUAACUAGNGAACACCCUGUUCAUCAAAUCCAUGAAUGCGGCAGGGGCAUUCGUCAAUCCAAAAGGCAUGACCGUAAACUCAUAAUGCCCGUACCGAGUCCGAAAAGCCGUCUUGGAAACAUCCUCGGCCCUCAUCCUCAGCUGGUGGUAACCGGACUGAAGAUCAAUCUUCGAGAAGACGAAGGAUCCCUGCAACUGAUCAAACAAAUCAUCAAUGCGCGGCAGUAGAUACUUGUUCUUGAUGGUCACUUUAUUCAGCUCCCGGUAAUCUACGCACAACCUGAGCGACCCAUCCUUUUUCUUUACAAAUAAUACCGGCGCUCCCCAAGGCGAUACACUGGGUCUCACAUACCUCUUAUCCAUCAGAUCCUGAAGCUGCGCCUUUAGCUCUCUCAGCUCCGCCGGUGCCAUCCGAUAAGGUACCUUUGAGAUUGGUGCAGUUUUAGGAACUACAUCAAUCACAAACUCAAUCUCCCUCUCAGGUGGCAUCGUCGUCAACUCAGGGGAAACACAUCUGGAAACUCGCGGACUACAGGAAUAUCCUCGAGUCCCGGCGCCGCCGUAGGUACCUCAACAACAGUCGCCAGAAAGAGAACACAUCCUCUACUCAUCAGCUGUCGAGCCCUCGCCGAAGAUAUCCAAGUGGCAAACAGUGUACUUCUGCAGCCUCUAAAAGUAAACUCCUCCUGGCCUGGAUCGUGGAACGUCACUAUUCUCGCUCCACAAUCGAUAGUAGCAUAGUACCGCGCCAGCCAAUCCAUACCGAGCACGACGUCGAAGUCCUGCAGCUGCCCUAACACCAACAGGUCUGCGGGCAUGAUCCACGAGUCUAACUGCACCGGACACGACCAACAACACUCCGCAACCUGUAAAAUAUGGUCUGGGAUCUGCACCUCUCGUGCCUGAGACAAGGCUCUAAACUCUAGAUCAUGCAAUAAUGCAAAUGCUCGGUUAAUAAACGAAUGAGAUGCACCGGUAUCAAAGAGAGUAAGAACUCUAAUGCCAGAAAUCAAAGUGAUACCUGCCACCACUCGGUCGGCCGCUGUAGAGUCCUCCACCUGGGCUGCAUAGACCCUGCCACUAGGAGCCUGCUGUCGCCGCUCACCCUGAUGCGGCGCAGAUGCCCUGUCCUCCUGGCGGUAGCGAUGCAGUGCUCCAAAAGACUGCUGAGGUGCUGAUGAUGCUGAAGCGGUCGAUGGCGCUGGUGAUACUGCUCGGGGACAAGCUGACCUCAUAUGCCCUGGCUGUCCACAUCCAAAACACCGACCCUCACGCUGCUCGCACUGCCGGGCCCAGUGUGGUCCCCCACAUAUCACGCACGGAGGUAACCCCUGUGACUGCCUCUGCUGCCGAGGUCCCCCAGAACGCCGAUGCCCCAAGAAUCCACGACUCUGAGAACGCGAUCGUGGAGGUCUCGGCGGACGCCGGCUGCUCGACUGUCCACCAUCGUCUGAAGCUGGGUGCUUCCUAUCCUGACUCUGCCCCACGGCCUGAGUUCUCUCCUGCAGUGACACCUCACCUCUCUCCACCGACAAGGCCUGCUCUGUGGACGCAUCCAGAGUCCUCGACCUCUGCAUCCGCGCCAACCUGAAAAUGUCGGGUCUCAGCCCCUGCUCAAACAGAUAGACCCUGUGUGCCUCGUCCCUGGCCACAAAUGGCACACAGUUCAGGAGUCGAGUAAACUCCCGAAUGUACUCCUGNUUGAUUGAAAUAAAUUCGAGCCGAGCUCGAGCUAGCCGAGUAUCGAGCCAAACACGAGUCGAACACGAGCCGACUUGCUCAUUUGCUUGCCCUAACUAGUCUAGUGACCUGCGCGAUGCAGCAGAUAGAUAACAGGAGAAAAAAUAUAAAAUGCUAAUAAGUUAUAUUUUUAUAAAUUUUUUAAAUAAAUACAUAAGAUGAGUGGCAGAAAGUUAUAGCAAAUUAAGGAUUGUAUAUUUGCUAUAUUGAGGGGAAUACAAUUAGGAGUUCAUAUCAAGAUUGAUAAAAAUUAAUCCAAAUAUAUAUAACCAAUCUGCACGAUCAAAUUCAAUAGUCUUGUCAACCAUCUAGGAGCUAGAAGUUAAGGCGUGGAAAAGAAAAACUCUAGCCACAAUAGAAACACCAUCAAACAUUUGAACGUUAUCACUAAAACACAAUUUACUUCAUUAAGGAUUAAUGAAAUGCAAUAAUAAGUUCAAAUAAUUUGCUUUAAGGACGUAGCUAUUGUCUUUUCUUCUCUCAUUGAACACAGAAGGGUUUAAAAAAUUCAUGGCUGCAAUAGUUACUAAAUGGUCGUUCAACUUGCCUUGCCAUCUAAGCUUUUACCCAUGUAUCUGAAAAAUACAGAUAGCUUAGAAGAUGAAAGAAAGUUAUUUAUAAAGGAGUACUUUGUUAAAUAUAAAUUGAUACAAUUUUCUAAUUAUCAUCACUUAUCUCAUAAGCGUGUAGAAAUGAGGUAGGUCUAUGAACCAAAGCACAUUAUAUAGCUUUAGAAAUAAAAAUAAAAACUUACAUAAUUAUAUAUGAUCUGCAAAGCAGAAGCAAUUUUAGCAUAAGCAUAUAAUUGGUCGCAGAUUGUCGGAUCAAACGAUAAUCUCCUUACAUGUUAGAGCAGAUUAAUGAAUACAAUGCCGGAAGAACAACCAUUGGAAACUGAUAACUUCGCCACCUUUCUGUUUAUUCUUUAUAUUUAUAUUUAUUUAUUUAUUUUGUAAAUUUUUAUUAAAAAAUUUUAUCUGCCGCAUUGCGCGGGUUUCUACACUAGUAUUUAUUAAAGUGCUAUGAACGUAAAGAUUCUGUUCACAUAAGGAUUUAAUCUUGCAUAUAAUAUUAAUUUAGCACAAAUUUAUUUUUAUUUUAUGUUUGUGGUCAAAUUAGAAUAUAUAAAGUUUAAAUUUGAUUACAAUAUUAUGUUUUAAAUUAUCGUAUAUACAUUCUUAUUUUGAUGGGAUGAACAUGAAAAUUAAAUAAUCAUAAUUAUUUUUAGAUUAUUUAAGAUUUCGCGCUAAGUUCAAUUAAUUUAUUAUUUCGAUUGGUUAGGUGUAAGUCAAAGCGGCCCUAAUUAAACGAAAAUAAUGAUUUAAUUUACUUUAAAGUAGUGCUUCCGGAUAAUUUUUAUGUUAAUCAUGCAGCACUAAGUCAGAUUAAUUUGUUACUUCAACUGUUCGGGUGCAAGCUCGACCCAGAUCAGAAAAAAAGAUAAAUUAAUCGUAUUAAAAAAGUGCAUGUAGAAAUUGCACCCUAAUAUUAUGUUUAGUCUGCUCUCAAAGGAAGGUCUAGAAAUGAAGGUACAUGAGUGGUGUAGGAUGGUAAUUUUCUCAUAACUCGUUUGGAGAAAUUUGCCUAGCCAAAGCUAACAAUUCUUUAUAUAAAAAAUUUGAAAUUAUCACGACCUGCAGAAAGUUUAAAUUAAUCUCCGAUAAAGAGAUUGUAUAUUUAUACUCAUAACUCUGCUCCCAAAGUAGGGGUUAUGAUGUCAUACAAGGUAUAUGCAUAAAGAAUGAAAAAUACUUAUGCUUAUAACCCUGCUCCCAAAUGAAGUGUUGUGAUGUUAUAUAAGAUAUAUUUUUUCUAAUUUUGGUUUAGUAAUUUUUGAUGUGGCAUUUUAUUGAUAAAACAUGUAUUUUAUUUUUCAGCUAUUACUUCAUCAUUUGUUCCUAUUGGUGAUUCUGUUCCCAUGCUUAAUGGGUCUAAUUACUUGGAGUGGAAAGAACAGAUCAUACUUACAUUAGGGUGUAUGGACCUUGAUUUGGCUUUAAGAGAGGAUAAACCUGCUCCUCUUACAGAUAAAAGUACACCAACCCAAACAACAUUUUUAGAAAAGUGGGAGCGCUCUAAUCGGCUUAGUUUAAUACUGAUGAAAGCGUUGUCGGUAAAAACAUUUGGAAUUCAAUUCUAGAAUGUAAGACAACCUACGAUUUCUUGAAUGCUGUGGAGCAACAGUUUGUAAGCUCUAGUAAAGCUUUGACGAGCACCCUAAUGAAUAAACUGUCUUCCAUUAAGUACUCUGGAAAUGGCUUGAUUUGCAAGUAUAUUAUGGAAAUGCGAGAUAUUGCAGCGUAGCUCACUGCACUUGAAGUAACCACCUCUGAUUCAUUCUUAGUGCACAUUAUUUUGAACUCUUUGCCAUCUGAAUAUAGGCUGUUUCAGAUCUCUUAUUACACAUAUAAAAAUAAAUGGUCAAUUAAUGAAUUGUUGACCAUGUGUGUGCAAGAGGAAGGCAGAUUAAUACAAGAGAAAUAAAAUGUAGUUAAUUUUGUUUAUCAAAAGAGACAAAUAAAGUGUGCUCAGAAUGGUAAGGGCAAGAAUGACUCAAAAGGAAAGAACAAGGAAGUUUCAUCUAGUUCACAAGGCCAAUCAAGUAAUUGGAAUCCCAAGUGCUUCUUUUGUAAGAGCAAGGAUCAUAUGAAGAAGGACUGCCAAAAUUAUCAGAAAUAGCUUCAAAAGAAGGGUAAGUUUUUUGUUUUGAUGCAUGAGUUGCAUUUAGUUUCUAUUCCGUCUAAUACUUGGUGGAUUGACUCUGGUAUCGCAUGCCACAUGACGAAUUCCGUGCAGCGAUUUCAGACUCGCAGGAAACCCUGUAAAGAUGAAGCGACUAUCUAUACAGCUGAAGGAAAUCCAACUAAAGUAGAAUUUGCGGGAAUAUUUAGAUUAGUUCUUUCUACUGGUCAUAUUUUGGAUUUAGAAGAUACAUUUUAUGUUUCAAAUUUUUCUAAGAACUUAAUUUCUAUUUUAAAACUUGUUGGACUAGGAUAUAGUUUCAGUUUUGAUAAUAAAGUUUUUUCUUUAUCCUAUAAAUCUCAGAUAGUUGGCUCUGGUGUUUUGAAAAAUAAUCUAUAUAAAGUAUCUUUACAUCAUUCAUAUAGUGAAAUCCUUUUACCAUGCACGAAAAUGUUGGAUCAAAACGUGGCAUUAAUAAUGAAAAGUCAUCCAUAUUAUGACAUAAGAGGUUGGGACACAUCUGGAAACAGAGAAUUCAAAGGUUAAUUAGAGAAGGUAUUUUAGAUGAUCUCGACUUUUCUGACUUUGGAACGUGUGUGGACUGCAUAAAAGAAAAGCAGACCAAAACCUCCUCUAAAAGUGCUAAAAGAUGUGAUGGAACAUUAGAGUUGAUUCAUACUGAUAUAUACGGACCUCUUCCUCUCUCAAUUAUUGGCCAUAAAUAUUUUAUCACAUUUACUGAUGACUACUCUCGAUAUGGCUAUCUCUACUUUCUUAAAGAAAAAUCUAAAGCAUUAGAUGCCUUUAAAGUAUAUAAGGCUGAAGUAGAGAAUCAACUCAAGAAAAGAAUAAAACUAGUCAGAUCAGGUAGGGGUGGUGAAUAUUUUGGUAGACAAACGGAUAAAGGCCAAAUUCUUGGACCUUUUGCUAAGUUUUUGGAGUAGUGCAGAAUUGUUCCACAGUACACCAUGCCAAGGACACCUGAUCAGAAUGGUGUUGCUGAAAGAAAGAACCACACAUUAAUUGAUAUGCUCAGGAGUAUGAUCAGUAAUUCUACCCUUCCGAUAUCAUUGUGGGGUGAGGCACUCAAAACUGCCCUAAAUCGGGUCCCUACUAAGCCUGUCACUAAGACUCCUUUUGAGCUUUGGACAGAUAGGAAACCCAGUUUAAGACAUUUUCAUAUAUGGGGUUGUCAAGCUGAAGCCAAAUUAUAGACCCACAAUUAAAAAAAUUGAACCCUCGAACCAUAUCAAGAUAUUUUAUUGGUUAUUGAGAAAGAUCCAAAGGGUAUAAAGUUUUACUAUCCACGACUUCUUAUAAAGAUUGUAGAAACUAAAAUAUCACAAUUUAUUGAGGAUGGUACAAUCAGUAGGAGCUCUGAACCUCGGUUCAUUGAAUUUGAGAAAAUUCAAGAGCAUUAAGAUUCUGUACAGGAUAGACCCACUGUUGUCCCUCACGAUUUGAUGGAUCCUGUUCGAGUAGAACAACAAGUUGUUUUGGAAUCACAAAGUGGUCAUGAACCUAUCAUUGAUAAUUCACAUCAAGAUGUACAAGUGGAUAAUUCACAUCAAAAUAUAAAAGUGAAUAAUCUGCAUCAAGAUAUAUAUGUGAAUAAUUAGAUAGAUUUAAGAAGAUCCUGGAGACAGAGAAAACCGACUGUAUCCAAUGAUUAUAUUGCUAUCUUUAUGAAAAUGACCAGAAUUUAAAUGAUUCUAUUGGUUUUUUCGAAGCCAUAAAUAGUAAUAAUUCUACAGAAUGGUACAAUGCCAUGAAGGAUGAGAUUGAAUCUAUGAACCACAAUAAGAUAUAGGAUCUUGUUGAGUUACCUAUAGGAGUUAAACCCAUAGGAUGCAAGUGGUUUAUAAAACCAAAUGGGACUCCAAAGGUAACAUAGAGAGAUACAAGGCCUGUCUUGUGGUGGACUAAAAUAGGCCUUCCGUCAAUGGUAUUUAAAGUUUAAACAAACUAUUCUAACCUUUGGUUUUAAAAAAAAUAUUGUUGAUCAAUGUAUUUAUCUAAAUGUUAGUGGGAGUAAAAUAAUAUUCUUAAUCCUUUAUGUUGAUGAUAUUUUGCUUGCUAGUAAUGAUUUGGGCAAUUGCAUAACACUAAAGAAUUUCUUUUUCAAAAUUUUGAAAUACAUAAUUGUAAGCCUAGUAUUGCUCCUGUCCAGAAAGGGGAUAAGCUUAAUAUUUUUCAGUGUUCCAAGAACCAAUUAGAAAUUGAACAGAUGAAGAACAUACUUUAUGCCUCUAUAGUUGGUAGCCUUAUGUAUGCACAGAUGUGCACACGUCCGGAUAUUGCUUUUGCAGUUGGAUUACUUAGCAGGUAUCAAGGUAAUCUAGGUAUGGAGCAUUGGAAGGCUGCUAAGAAGGUUAUGAGAUACUUAAAGAAAAUUUUGGAUCAUAUUGCAUGUUAUGAGACCACAUCACAAGCUAUUUGGCUUAGAAAUUUUAUCACAGACUUAAAGAUUGUGGACUCCAGUGCUCGUCCAAUAAAAUUUUUCUGUGAUAGAUCAGCUGCUGUUUCCUUUAUCAAUAACAACAAGAUUACAAGGGGUUGUAAACAUUUGGACAUCAAAUAUCUUACGUGAGAGAGAAGAUAGAGGAAGGUUAUAUUACAAUUGAAUACAUUAGUACCAAGUAUAUGAUUGCAGACCCAAUGACUAAGGGGCUGGCACCUGGGUCAUAUACAGAUCAUGUUAGAAGUAUGUGUUUGAUUAGUUCAUUUGAUGUAUAAAAUUAUAGCAUUCUAUCUUUUCAAUAAAGUUAAAAUUUUAAUGCAACUAUGUUGGACCAUUUAAUAGGCAUAAAGUUUUGUCUGUUAACGAACGGACAUAUAGUUUUAAGUUCAUUCAUAAAGAUGUGCCGUAUAAAGUACUUGGCUAGGAGAUGAGAUGAUAUGGUAAUUAUGGAAGAAAAAUUUCAAUAUGAAGAGGUGGACAGCCAUAGUUACUAUCAUUGUAGUCUUUUAGUUUGAGCUAAAGAUCAAGUGAGUUCUAAGGUAUUUGAUCAUAAAGUUUUCAAUAAUGCGCAAUAAAGUUUGGAGUAUAGAAAGUCCGUUCAUGAAGUAUGAUUAAUAUGAGCCAAGUGGGAGAUUGUUAGGAUUUUCAUAAAUGUGGCCCAAUUAUUCAUAUUCAAAUCUGGAUUUACUAUAGAUAAAGGUUAAUCCUAAUAGAUAUAAAACUACUUGAUAUAGUAUAUUUUAUCCCUAUCCCAUCUAUUUAACUUAAAUAGAAUCCUAAUCAGACUUUGAUGGAAAAUCGAUUUAGACUCUAUAUAAAGAGGUAUUAGUCCUGCCACCUUCUUUUACGUAUUCUAGUAAAAAAAUACCAUUUGUUCCACACUAUAUGGGAGAGUGCCUGAGAUAGGGGGAGAAACCAAAUUACCCAAGUUUGGUUCGUGACUUCCAGAUCAUAGCCGAAUUUCUCGCUUUCGCAGAUUGAUCAAGAAUUUCUUCUCUAUAGCGCUCUGUGAGUUAAUUUAUUUUAUUUUGAUCCAAGAUAUUGGUAUGUAUUUAAUUUUCUUCUUAUUUCACAUACCUAGAAAGAUCCAUCAUUUACAACACUUGUUUUCAUAUAAAAUAUUACACUAUUUUUCAUUUACCAAAAUAGGUACACACUAGAUCUCUCUCUCUCUCUCUCUCUCUCUCUCUCUCUCUCUCUCUCUCGGUCUAACUACUUCGUGAUGUCUUUGUCGUGGUCUCGCGCCUCUCGGGCGAUAGUAGAGUCUAAAAAAUAACAAAUCACCAUGAAUGAGAACUAUAAAUAAGUUUUCAAUGGGUGCAAAAGUUGUACUCUAUUCCUUGCUUCAAUCUCCACCAAGUCCCCCUCUUAGAUUCACCCUUGAGAGAGCUUCUAGAGAGAGAGAGGGAGAAAAAUGAGUAAAGGGGAGGUUCUCUGGCUAUGAACACAAGAGAGGGUGAUGGGGUCCAUUUAUAGACUGCCACAAUUACAAUAAAACCCCUCAACAAUUGCCAUUUGCAACAUACUGCAAUCUGCAGUUUUCUGCACUUGGUACCGGUACGCGGGUAAUCUGUCACCAGUUUAACAGCUGCGCAGAAGCCAAACCUGAGAACUGCCUUCUCGGGUAGCUGGUCUGAUAUCGAUACGCAUGAGGGGUGUCACCGGUUUAACAGCCAAGAUUACUCAAACCCGAGAGCUACUACUCUCGGUCAGCUACGGGGUACCGAUACCACCUGAUUUAGUCACCCGUUACAAAAUGCCCAGACUGUAGUUUAGCAUUUGGUCGACUUCUAUUUCGCGCCGAGCAAUGCUAAUACUCAAUUAUCUCUUCUAGAACUCAACUUUGACCCUUCCAACAUCCUUGGAAUGUCACAUAGACUAUGUCCAAGCAUCUCUCUCGCCACGCUUUGGUCCUUUUGACCAAAAGUGGUUUAAUACGUCGGGGAAUCAAUACCUUACAAAGAUAGGCCGGAAUUGCAGAUUAAUAAUGCCUUUAGUGAAUGGAGCUGUCACGCCCGAGUUUCAGCGGAAGUAUACCCGAUACAUGCACAGACCCGCCAUAUACCUACAGUAUAUAAGGCGUCUACUAAAAUCAUGUCAGAAAAGAAGCAACUAACAGAAGAAUCUAACAUGAUAUCAAAGCAUAGGAUAUAUAUAAAAGGUACCAACAGCUAGCAGAUAAAUGAUACAACUCUACUAAAAACAACAGUAAGUAGAAGCAUAGAACCGUAUAGUACAACUCUCUACAACCAAUAUACACCAUAGUGUCAACCAAAACUAUAUACAAAUGGUAAUUUCUCUAUACACUGGUACACAUCAUCCUCGUCGACCCAAAACCAUAAUAGCGAGGUGAUCACCUAGUAGGACUCCACGCUACGUCUAGAUAGACGCGACUCCCUUGCUGCGAUCCCUAGCCUUUCCCGUAGUGGAUGGCUCUGCAAACAAACAACAACAAAAUGGCGUGAGAACUAUUAAACAAUAGUUCCCAGUGGCGAAGAGUUCCCGGUGUCGAUUAUCGCACGGGAAGUGCGCAAGUUGCGGAACCGCGAGAUCCCCUAUGUGCAAGUUCGGUAGAGCAAUCACGAUGACCGUGAAGCCACUUGGGAACUCGAGAGGGAGAUGAAAAAGCAUCACGCUCACCUAUUUGAGGAAUAAGGUAUAAAUUUGAGUUAUGUUGGAAUUAGAUUAGUUUUGAGGACGAAACUCCUUUUUAGGAGGGGAGGAUGUAAGAAGUGAAUUCUCGAAAUUCGAGAGUGGGACUUCGCUCAGAGUCGACUAAUUGUCAAGUGGGUAUGCUUCGGAAAAGCCGAGAAAGUCAAAAACUCAAAAAGUGCAUUGCAAUGGAUCCGCGAGAGCAAGUUGUGCAAAAAUCUGCACUUGUCAGAAAUUGCUCUUGGGGACCGGUCCUAGGCGGGAGAGACCUGUCCCUGUAAGCAUUGUGUGCGGUAGAAAAUCUCUGCGCACAAGUAUUGCUCUCGGGGACCGGUCUCUAGCGGGAGAGACCGAUCCCCGUAUGCGUAGGAAAUGGGCAGGGCCCCCUGCCCGCAAAGACUGCUCUCGGGGACUUGUCCCUCUAGGGACAGACCGGUCCCCGUAGCCCGAAACUGCCCAGACUGGGCUGUGUCUUGUUAGAAUCUAGGGAUUUGUUGGAGUAGAUUUGCAAUAGUGCAAACCUAGGGCUCCAAAUUGGGGCUUUGCUUAUUAAUGAGGUUUGAUCUCAAUUGAUGGCCUCUUAACCUAAUUGCUAGGUGUCUAAACGCGUUGGCGAAGACAGAUUGACGAUUUGUCGAGUCGUUGAAAAGUUAUCGGCAAAACAAGACCGAUUGUGCUUCGUUUCCACCUAGGAGGUCGAAGCGACGUUGAAGCAAGUGCUGAAUAGCAUUCUUAGCACCCCGACGUCGUCGAAAGGUGGGUGGUGUCAUCCCGAAGCAACCGGGUUAAUCUCUAUGUCUUAGUACAUCAUUAUUUGCAUCUCUCGCAUAUAUGCAUUGUAGAAUUGCAUUGUUAUUCCACUCCUUAUGCUUUCUAAUUGAUAUCAUAGUGUGAGUUGAAUGCUUGGUAUAAUGGAUACGUAAGGAUUGGGUCUGGACAUUGAAUCCUAUAGUGCCGAGGAAAAGAGAUGACUCGAUGAUGGCUUAGUGACAUAACGAGUGGCAUGUAAAUAAGAACGAGAACAAAACGAGUGGCAUAUAAUGUAGUGUACAAUGACAUUAGUGACAUAUGAACUUAGGGAUAGGUGGACUCCCUAGAGAUGACUCGUUGAACAAGAACCUAGUGUAGUCAAAUGCUUACUCAUGGACAUUGGGAUAGGUGGAUUCCCGAGUGACAGCUAGCCCUAGUAAAUAGGGUAUCCUCGAGUUAAGAGGAUGGAUCAUACUCACAGUCUGUUUAUACUUGUGGUGGUCGCGCCACACAAGUCGUCGUGCACUCCAAAGUUUGGUGUGAGAGGGGCAGAGUUGAUGUCACGCCCCGGGACCGAGCGGAAGUCCGCCCGGCACGUGUCCAGACCCGCCAUAUGUCUAAAACAUAUAAGGCGUCUACGAUAAAGCAAUAAAUAAAACAAUAAUACGAAGAGUCUAACGAUAUCAGAGCGAAGUACAUCUAGAUUUCUACAUCAUGAUAAGGUAAAAGAAGUCCAAAUCCACUAAAUAGAAGUCAUAAGUAAUACAAGAGAUGUCCCAGAACAAGUGCUAAAAGAGUACAUAGGUGGUCUCUAUACAUGGUACAAAAAUCUCUCUCUCUACUACAACAAAAGAAAGAGUAAACCACCUAAGAGCAAGUAGCUCCCCGCUAUCUAGCUAGGCGACACCCUUGCCGCGAUCUCGUGCCUCCGCCGGUGCUGAAGGCUCUGAAAUAAAACCAUAAAAUAGGGGGCGUGAGAACUAUUAAUUAAUAGUUCCCAGUGGGCAAUUACUGACUUCAGUGAAAAGCACCACUAGGCCCAAAAGAGUUAAAAUAGGUAAGUAAACAAGUAAAAGCGAUAUGAACGACAUGUAAGUAAACAUGUAAACUUGCUACCAUAUGAUGUCUCUACUUAGCAUGAAUUUGCAUAAGUAAUGAAGCUACUGUAACAUAUAAGUACAUGAGUGUAACUAACAUAAUGUCCCCAAGCUAAAUAGCACAAUGUCAUUGUUUACUAUUCUAUCGGUGUCCACUUCGCAUGUUAACUACUUAAAGUUUAAAUCUUGUAAGACCCACCCGAAGGCUGUCUGGCCUGAAGACCCACCCGUAGGCUAUCUGGCCGGUGCCGUGCCUAAUGGCCCCGUGGUAGUCAACAUCCCCGCUCUAGGAAUGAGCCUUGCCCACGGCAAUCUACUUCGGUGCCCAAUCCUGCACGGUGAGUAUGUAUCGCGAUGGCUAUCUCCGGAGUGCCGGCUUGUAGGGAGCGACCCUCACAAGCAUGUGCGAAUGAGCACAAAGGCAAGUAAGCAUAUAUGUCCGUCUCAAGUCUCAAGUUUCAAGUCAUCAUGUCUAAAACAUGGAAUAUAGCAACUGUGUCGAUGGCCUAUCACUAUGUCAUCAUGUCUAAAACAUGGAAUAUAGUCGAUGUCUAAUGGCCUAUCUCUAUGUCUCUAUGUUGCAGUUUCAUAGUUUACCAGUUCAAGUGCCCCUUUAUGGCACUUUUGUCCACUAAAAUCGAAGCAUGAUUUUGGUGUUCAUGAAUACCUAAUUUGAGUCAUUUUUAAACAUAGGAGACAUGUUUCCAACCUGCUAACAUGAAUACUUCUCACAUGCAUGCAAAACACCCAGAAUGCUCUACUAUAUAGAGUAAAAUUUUUAUGAUACAUAAGGCAUGCAUUUUAAGCAUUCUAAAAUUCAUAGAAAUUCUAUCUGGCAUGAAUAUGCAUGAAUUUUAACGUUAUGACGAGUAUAACACCCAUAGGGGCAUUUUGCCCCGGUUCCAUGAAGUCAAACCCACCGAGCUUCAACGCCGCUCUUUGAUCGUGCCGACGAAGGUUACCGCCACUCUCCUAGCACUCUAGAGGUAAUACUAAAAGAGUUAAACGAACCUUACGAACAACACUAAGCUCAAACUUUAAUCGUCUCAAGAAAAGGGCAAAACUCACCUCUUGUGUGAAAAUUCCUUCUCAAGCUCCAAAGGAGAGCUAGAACCCUUCCAAUCCAACCUAAAGGAGGGUUCUAAUCCAAGAGAUUGAGCCCCAAAAGCCCUAAAUCCAAAAUGCCCAAAAUCAACCCUAGGUUCCCAUUCUAGGGUUCAUCUCAAAGGAACCAUCAAAACAAGGAUCCAAAAGAAAGAAACUUGUUACCAACCUCUUGGAAGCUUCAAUCCAAGCCCAAAGUCCACAAGCUCCCAAGAUCUUCCCUCAAACAAGCUCCAAGUCCAAGCUCCAAGCCUCUACCAAGGUAGAAAUUGCUCCAAAAGGCAAAAAGAAAAGUAAAUCCACCAAAAUCCAAGCUAAAAAGGGGGUCAAAUCCAAAUGGGAUGGUGAAGAGGGCUCCUUUACCUCUUUCCCUGCUGGUGCCAAGCUCAGGGAAGGCCCUAGGGGCAUGGGGUGCUAUAUAGAAUAGCAACAAUCGCAAAAACACCCCUACAGUUCGACAAGUUCAGAUUCUGCCAAAGUGUACCGGUACACGAGAAAGUGUACCGGUACAAAUCCCGCGAAAAUGGCAACCCGAGCCUCGGGUUGGCCAAUCACCAUAUCUGUACCGGUACAACCAUCAAGGUGUACCGGUACACUUUCUUUACCGGUACAACCAUCAAGGCUGUACCGGUACAUAGCCCUGCUGAGGCAACCCGAGAGCAGACCCAAAAAUCCAAUCUUUUGGAUUUUGGUGCUAAGUUUUAAACCUCAAUUCUCGAAAUACGAGCCAUAGGUCGGAACACUGUCAACGACCCACCAGAAAAUCUGAAAAAAAUCAGAACACAGAUCAAACACUCGAACCUCGCAAUUUGCAAAGGUCCAGUGUGUUACAGUUGAUGUCCCGCAGACGGUCCCGGGUUUGAGAGCGAGGUGAGUCUCCUUACCAUACGGGAUGGCGAGGUGAGUCGGGGCGAACCCGAGGGAUCGCCAAGGAUUGAGUAAACAAGAGAAUAGCACUGUUUAUUGAACAUUUGCUUAUUGGACAUUGUUAUUGGAUAUUGUUAUUGGACAUAGUUGCAUGUUAGUUGAUCACUCACUAUAUGAUGCAUGCAUACAUUACUCUUGAUUAGGCAAAGUAGCAUAGUUUUCCUACUAUGCCAUUUACUACUUUCAUUAUAUAUCUAUCUAUCUAUAUAUCUGCUUUUGCCCACUCGGACCUAGUGGGGAGAUCGGCGAAGUCGGCGGCCGAACCCACUGAGAACUAUGAACAAUAGUUCUCACCCCACUUUGUUGUAGGGCCUAGUACGAGUACGCCGGGCUAGGACUGUGGCAAGGGCAUCGCGCCCGAGUAGUAGUGCAUAGCAGCUAUCCUAUUUUGCAUUAGUAUCACCCUAUGUAUAUGAGUGACUUAUGUCGGUGAGGAUUGGAGAGCUAUGUAUGUAUUUUGGUGAUGAUCUAGUAAACAUGUAUCCAUUUUGGAAAAGAUGUAAUGUAAAUUGAAGUAAAUGAAUGCAAUGUGAUGUAAUAGCUAGUAGAUCUCUCUUUUGCUCACUUGUAUGCACAUGUGACUCUUGCUCUUAGUUGUUGGCACUUGUUGUGCCCUUCGUUGAUUGUGUAUGUAUAGAAUUUCUAUUCCUGGGCAAGUUCUUGUACAUGAUCAGGUUGUUUGGCCUUGGGCGGACAGGGGAGGUGCUGUCCGUUCGGCGUCUGUUCGACGCGCCCGAACCGGACCAACUUGGUAGCGAUCUCGGGGUGUGACAACUAGGUUUAUGAUGUGUGAAAAGAAACAUGUAUAUCCAUUGCAUAAAGAAAGUAAUACUGCUACAACCAAUUAGUAAAUAUUAAAAUUACUAGGUUCCCAAUCUCAUAAUAAUUACAUGCAAGUGAAAACUAUGAUAUACAAGUAAGCAUGCUAUCUCAUUUAUGAAUGUACACUACCGAGUAGUGAUUAAUAGUAAUAUAGUUUAGUAUUUGUUUAGUUCAUACAGAUCUACAUCAGGUAGUCCAGCUUGCGCCGCACCUAAUGGCCCCGUGGUAGUAAACACUCCCACGGCAAUCCACUUCUGCACCCAAUCCCGCACGGGCGAGCAAUCUGUCGCAUAGGCCAACUCCGGAGUGCCGGCUUGUGGGGAGCGACCCUCACAAGCAUGUGCGAAUGAGCACAAUGGCAAGCAAGCAUGAUCCAUAGUCCACAAGUCCUCAAUCGUCAUGUCUCAACAUGAAAAGAUCUCUACCGACCUAUAGGUCGGAAUCUAAAGACAAUAGAGAAUACUAGUAUCAAUUAGAUUAUACAAUCAUAUGAAAUUGAUGCUAGUUUAAACAUGUCAUUUGCAUUGGAAACUUGUCUACACAAGUAUUCUAAUUAUCAAGUCAUGGAUUUAAUAUCAUGUUCUCUACUUUAUAGAAACAUACUGGUUCAUAGCAUGCAAUGAUAAUCCAUACGUUGAGUCCUUUUUUAUUAUACUACUAGCAUAAGCAUGCCAAAUCGAGCUAUGUGUUUACAUAUAGUGCUGAGAACUAAUUAAACAUGCUAAGUAAUAUACUAGUUCUCAAUUCUCAACUUUAUAAGGUUCUACUUCAACAGUAUGAAGCAAACAUGUUAGCUAUCUUAACCAUAAUGCACAUAGUGAGUCUAAUAACACCGCAAUACGUGAUCCACAAUUCUAAAGCAUUACGAAGAACAUAGAGGGAAGCCACUUAUUCCGAUGAGGUCAAACCCACCAAACAGUUGACGCCUCUUGUCAACUCCGAAAGUGAGGGUAUCCACAGGACUCCAAGUACCCUAGCAAGCAAAUCAAAAUCAGCUAGGAGCAUAUUUUACAUCUCUAUGCCAAAGUAUACAAGAACCCCACAUAAUCAUCUAGUUUGGGCAAGAUUCAUACUUGAGAUUGAAUCAGGGGUAAUUCCACUUACUGUAGGUUAAAAUACACCAACUCUAGCCAUUAAUAUCCACCAAAAUUCCAACCAAAAGGUUCCGCACUUGGCCGAAAACCUGCUGCGAACAACUGCCCAGAAUCAGCAUUAAUAUACUAAUAAUUGCAGUUGAGGCUAGAGUUUCACUUGUUUAGAUUCCCCGCAUGGAAUUCUACUUCCUACUAGUUGAAAUACCUUCAAAACCAACUCGCAAGAUCCCAAUAUCCCGUUCCAAAGGAAUAUUUCAGCUGCUGAAAGCCCAAACCCGAAAUCAACAUUAAUACUACAUCAUUACAUCUAAUUUAGCACCAAUAAUGCAAUUGGUUAAAUAAUCACCUUCUCAAGGCAUCACUCUAGCUUUCCCCUAGAUUUUAGGUAGAGAAAUCACAGCAAAAGACUCUUCUCUAGCUGCUGAACUAUCCCCAACCCUGCUGGCAGCAGAGAGACCAAACAAAAUCAGCUCAAAUCCAUUACUACACCUCAAACUAGUGAGUAAUUGAGUAGCUUACCUCUCCAAAGCAUCAACCCAGCUACUGCUAUGCUCAAAGCUGCGAAACACUCCUCAAAACCCUUCUUCUUCCUUCAACAACAGCUCCAAGGCACUCCCAAUCAGCUAACAUCAAGCAAGGAGAAGAAAUCAAGCUUAAACCUUUGAUAUCUUUGUAAAGAGGGAAAAACCCUAGAGAGAGAAAGUGAGGAAGGUGCAAAACCCUUUCUCUGAGCUCUAGUGACCCUCCAGCAACUUCAGGAGUCGUGCUGGCCUAGUUAGAGAUAAGGUUGAAUGCCAAAAGACCAAAGAAGCCCUUGCUGCCACGCAGCAGCUAUGCUGGUACCGGUACUAACACACUCUGGCACCGGUACCCUGUACAAAAUACAGAAUUGGCAUUUCGUAAUGCACUUUCUUGCUUCCGACAGUCUAAUCCCUCUACUAACUUGCCAAACACCUUCCUACAACCCUUUAAAAGUUGUGGGUUCAUUCCAAUUACCAAUCCCACUCUCGAACUUCGCAAUUUGCCAAGUUCAGAGUACUACAGGAGCAACGAUUUUAUUAUGGAUAGUUUUGUGAAUUUUGUUCGUUGUUUAUGAAUUCUGUACAUCUUAAAAAUUGCAUUUGUAUGUAAUUGAAGCAUCCAUUUAGCAGUCUUUGAAAAUGAACUUGGGAAAUUUUUUUGGCCUUCAUUACAUUCGUUGUUGGAUCCUUGCAAAAUUGAUGAUGGAUGUAUUGUGUACUUAGACACUUCUUAAAUUUCUAAUUUCCCAACUGGUUUGCCUGUAGUUUUCCAAAAAAAUAAAAAAUAAACUUAAAUUUAAGUAUUACGAUUUGUUUGCAAUUUGGACCGCCGUUUGGCAGCCAAUGUGUACAAAGAAUUCCUCGGCAUAUUCUUUUUAUUGUUUUGUUGCUAUAUGUAUGUUUGGCUCAAUUCAGGUGGAUUGGAUGCAUUUCUAUACUUAAUACACCCAGCUUAGAGAUUUACUCUAUUUUUUGUCUUUGGUUCUUCCCAGUUUUCCAUUUUAACUGCUUUAUCUGUAUGGAUCAUUGCAUGCUUAUGUGGGUGCUUGAGGGUUGAGAAUGUACAGAGCCUAGCCUGCUUUCUGACCUGAUUUGGAGGAUUCCUUUCUACAUUACCAUAGUAUAACUAUAUAUCGAACUUUAUUAUUAUUAUUUUCAACUUUGUUGUAUUUUUCUGAUGAUUCACCACUUCUGCCACUAAACACUCACAUUAAAGAAAAGAGGGAAACAAGACAAUGGAAUGAUGAUCAUAGGGACUAUCAUAACAAUUUAAACCAUGCGCUUUUAUUAUACUUUCUGGCAAUAAAACCUUCAUUUGCAUAUUUGGCAUUUAGCGUAUUCUUUUUAUUUAGUAAUGAUGGCCAGUGCACUAUCAAUUUAGAUGGAGAAGUCAAACAUUACAAAUAUAGUGAAACAGUACAAAUAUAUCUUUAUAGCAUCUAAGUCUUCUUUAUAUAUUGAUCAAAUGUUUGGAUAUGCUUCACCUUAUUGGAUUGCUAAAGUUCUUUCACCUAUAUUAACUUGACAUUUUGAUGUGGACAGGUAUUGACUUUGUUUGCUGCACCACUAUUAGAGAAACAAAUUGUGUUCAAAUUUUGCUAAUGCUUGCCCGUAGUACUUAUCUCUUGCUCAGAUUCAGGAGGCUCUGAUUUUAGCUCUGAUUAGUUCUGAUUUUGUGAGGGGAGGAAAAAUAGUGCAUGCUUUUGUUGCUAUAUGUAUGUUUGGCUCUAUUCAGGUGGAUUGGAUGCAUUUCUAUGCUUAAUACACCCAGCUUAGUGAUUUAAUCUAUUUUUUGUCUAUGGUUCUUCUCAGUUUUCCAUUUUUUUUUUUUGUAAGUGUCCUGUCUAAGGUCUUAGAAAUUAUAUAUCAUGUUAAUUACUGCAGAAAACCAAGCAUAAGUAGGCAGUAGAUGCCUUUUGUCUAUGGUGAAUGUAAUUAAAGAUGAAAAAAGUUAGUGAGUUUAUGUUCAAUUCUGAAUUUUGCUUAUCUGUUGUAAAACUAUGUUAGAUUAAGAUAGGUCGGAAUUGCAGAUUAAUAAUGCCUUUGGUGGAUUGAGCAGCGAUUUUAUUAUGGAUAUUUUUGUGAAUUUUGUUCGUUGUUCAUGAAUUCUGUACAACAUCUUAAAAAUUACAUUCGUGUGUAAUUGAAGCAUCCAUUUAGCAGUCUUUGAAAAUAAACUUGGGAAAUAUUUUUGGCCUUCGUUACAUUCAUUGUCAGAUCCUUGCAAAAUCGAUAAUGUAUGUAUUGUGUACUUAGACGCUUCUUAAAUUUCUAAUUUCCCGACUGGUUUGCCUGUAGUUUUCCAAAAAAUUUAAAAACAAACUUAAAUUUAAGUAUUACGAUUUGUUUGCAAAUUGGGCUGCCGUUUGGCAGCCAAUGUGUAUAGCCCUCGGCAUAUUCUCUUUUUAUUGUUUUGUUGCUAUAUGUAUGUUUGGCUCUAUUCAGGUGGAUUGGAUGCAUAUCUAUGCUUAAUACACCCAGCUUAGUGAUUUACUCCAUUUUGUCUCAAAAAAAUAUAUAUUCUGAAUCUGAAAAAAUUCAAAUAUUUUCUUCCCGCGGCAUCGCGCAGACCCUUACCUAGUAAUAUUUAAAGAGAAUCGAAAAAAUGAUAGGCAGGUCCCGCAUGCUUGAAGAUAAGGAUCCGAUUCAGAAAAAGAUCUUUUCUCGAAACCCUAAAACAACAUGUGGGUCCCACAUGCCCUAACAUUUAAAGAGGAAUAAAAAACUGACAUGUUGGUACCACAUGCCCCAAAUUAAGCCAAACGAACCACAACUGUCAGGUAGAUCCCACAUGCCCCAAAUUAAGCAAAACUUGCCAUGUGGACUGAAAAUUAGAUUUGAAAAAUUACAAAUGCAGCAAAAACAAAAGUGGGGAUCAUACAAAAGUAGGGAAAAAGAGAAGAAACGAAACCAACCAAAAAAAAGUAAGAACAACAUGAUGUGUAGGCUCAGAAAAUCAAUAAGUUAUAUCAGAAAUCAACAUAGGGGAUUUUCACAUGUAAAACAUCAUCGAAACAAAUUGUAAGGUUGAUCAAUGGCUGCAACAGUUGCAUAAAUGCCAUCCAAGUUGCCAUACCAUGCAAAAUCUUUGUUGAUAUUCAAUCAUUAUUUUUUUUUCAUUCGGUCAUCAUCGCCAACACCAAAAGAAAAAUCAGUGAAACAGCAGCAGUAGAGCGAGCAUUACUUUUUUAAAAAAUAAAUCCAAAAAGAAUGAAAGAAACCAAACCUACAGUAAAUCGUAACCAUUAUUUCUCUAUAUUUGCAAAGGCAGGAAAAAGAAGUAGAAGAAGCAAACCAACAAAAAAAUGAGUAAAACAACAUAGAUGUAUAGGGUCAGAUAAUUAAUAAGUUAUAUCAGUAAUCAACAAAUUUGAUUUCCACGUAUGAAAUGUCAUCGAAACAAAUUGUAACGGUGAUCCGUGGUUGCAGCAGUUGCCUCAAUGGCAUCCAAGUUGCCAUACCAUGCAAAAACUUGGUCGAUACUUAAUUAUUAGAUUUUUUUCGUUUGGUCAUCAUUGCCAACACCAACAGCAAAUUCAGUGAAAUAGCAGCAGGAGAGCUAGAAGCAUUUUUAAAAAAAUUAGACACGGAAAGAACGAAAAGAACAAAAUCUGUAGCAGUAUAUCACCAUUCUUGACGGAACCAUUUUUCCGGGACCAUUUGUCCGAAACCUGUAACAACAGUGGGACCAUUUUUCCAUCUAGAGGCGAAUCAUUUGCCAGGAAUGAAGCGGGACUAAUGGAAACGUCAAGGAGUGAAGGAAGAUCGAUGUCAUAUAUGGCCCAAUUUUUCAUCCAUAGAAGAGGACCGAUGGUUUUUGAAGCGACGACAAAGAAAGAAAUGAACCGCCAAACCGAUUCAGAAGAGCAUCCGGUUUUUCGAAGAUGAAAAUCCGGUUUAGAAGAGCCUCCCUAACAAAUAGGUGGGUCCCACAUGCCAUAAACUUUUAAACAGAAAUUGAAAAACUAACAGGGAGGUGCCACAUGCCCCAAAUUAAGCCAUACAUGCAACAUGAAUAGUUUGGUCCCAUAGAUCAAAAAGUAAGCCAAGCAUGUCACAUGGACUAAAAAUUUGGGGAUUAAUGUAGGUGUAUAGAUAGAUAGUAUUAGAAAAAGAAGAACAUGAAGCAAAACCAACAAAAACGGAUUAAAAACAAUAAAGAUGUGUUUCCACAUUUAAAAUGUCUUUGAAAUAAUUUGUAAGAGAAAUCAGUGGUUGCAACAAAUGUCUAAAUUCCAACCAAGUUGCCAUACCAUGCAAAAGCUUUGGCAAUUUUAUUCAUGAAAUAGGUUGAAGAAGUAUAAAAAUUAAGCCAAGCAUGCCACGUGGAUUAAAAAUUACGGGUUAACAUAGGUUUAUAAAUAGAUAUUAUUAGAAAGGGAAGAAGAUAAACAAAACCAAUGAAAGAGGAGUAAAAACAACAAAGUUGUGUAGGUUUAUGGCAGAGACAAAUUUGGUUUGUACUCAAUAUACUACUUAUAAAUAGGUGAAUUGGAGUUAACAAAAAAUUAUUUACUUAUACACAGAAUUUCAAAAACCAUGAUGAAUUUGCUGAAAAUUUUUUUUGUCUAUUUCUAUAGUCAAAAUAUGUAAUUUGUUUCAGCAUAAGUUUUAGAAAUUAUAGUAAAAGAACUAACAUAAGUAGCAAUAGGAGAAGAAAUAGAGAUUUAUUUCAAUUUGUUAAGUUAACUGUGCCCUUUUUUCGUAAUUCCAACAAUAUCAAUUAUAGAAAGCAGUUUUAAACAAAAAAUAAGAUUGGUCUUUAAUUAAUUUUUAAAUAAAAAAUAUUUUUUUAAUUGGAGAUAAUUUUAUUAUUUUAUAUAUAAAAUAAUAAAUUUUGUAAGUAAAAAUCAAAUAUAUUAAUCAAACGAAUAAUUUAUUAUUGCAAUACAUCUUGCUAUAUCCCACUAAAAAAGAUGAAAGCCAAAUAUAAAUAAACUUUGGCAUUCAUUGUAAAGAAAACUAAAUCCUAUCAAGACACAAAAGCUUCUCAUUUUAAUUGCCAUAUAAUAGAAAUCUAUAUUUUUCACAAAGUUUUUCUUUUAUCUAAGCUGAUAAUUGCAAAGAUGUGAAUUGUUCAUUCCAUUCUGAGAACAAAUCUUAUGCAUCACAAUGGAUAGUAACAAAAGUACUAAAAAUAUUAAUACAUUUGUUCAUCAAAUUAAAUUUUUGAAAUCAUUGAAAAUUAAACUAUAAUGGCAAAAUUUAUUUUCUUUAGAUGAACAAAUUUUCGGAAGAAGUAAACUUUGUCGUCAUAUUAUUUGUUAAUAUAUAUAGUAUUGUCACACACAAUUAAUUUCUAAUGAUUAAUUUUAUUUUUUUAACGUUUAUAUCAGACACAUGGAUCCAAUAAGCAUAUAUAUCUAAAAAAUAGAUGAACUGAAAACUUACAGAUUCAGAUCCGAACAAUUUCAGUUGAAUAUUGUUAGCUUCCUGAAACAAAUAAAUAAAUACUCAGUAUUUAAAACUUCUAAAUUAAAUAGUAAGCAAUCCAAAUUACAAAAAAAAUAAUAAUAAUAACCAAUCGACAGAAGUACACAACGCUGCGACCUUUCUUAAUCUCUUGGCUCUGAGAAGAGAUGUGGAAGUUCUUCUUAGAAGCGGAGAUGUCGCAGGAUGCAGAGCAAAAGAUAGCAGAUGACCAUUAUAUAGACACUGAGAGGUAUGGGAAAAGACAGACAACCCUUCGGCGCUAAUGAAAACGGCGCGAAGGGAAGCAGGAUUGAUGUCGUAUAUGGCCCAAUUUUUCGUCCAUAGAAGAGAAACGACGGUUUUCGAAGCGACGACAAAGAAAGGAACGAACCGGCGAACCGAUCUAAUGCGGCGUUGGAAGACGAAGCGAUAAUGAAUCGAGACCAAUUUAGAAUCGAGAGGCGAAUCAUUCGAUGGGAAUGAAGUGGCGCCAAUGGAAACAGCAGGGAGGGAAGCAAAAUCGAUGUCGCACUUGGCCCUAUUUUCCGUUCAUAGAAGAAAAACGAUGGCUUCCGAAGUGACGAAGCGAACCGGCAACGAUGGCUUCCGAAGCGACGAAGCGAACCGGCCUAAAGCGACGACAAUGGAAAAAGCGAACCGACGAACCGCUUCAGAAGUGGACCCAUUUUUUCAAGAUAAGGAUCGAGUUCAUAAGAGUAUUUGCUCUCUAAACCCUAAAACCAAUAGGUGGGCCCCACAUGUCAUAUAUAAUAUUUAAAGAGAAACGAAAAAUUGACAAGCAGGUCUCACAUGCUAAAAUAUUUUCUCUAAACCCUAAAACAACAGGUAGGUCCCACAUGCCCUAAAUUAAGCCAAACAUACGACAACUGAUAGGUAGGCCCCACAUACACCAAUUAAGCAAAACUUGUCACGUGGACUAAAAAUUACGAGGAUUAAUAUAGGAUAUAGAUUGAUUAGAUAUAGUAGAAAAUACUGCAAAUAUAAUAUUUUGUAUAAUAUUUUGUUUGGUUGUAUGCAGCCGAAACAUGUAUUUAUAAUUUUUUUUUUUUUAUAUGGAGCAAUAAAAUUGCCCCCUAUAUAAGAAAAGAAAGAAAAACUUAAAAAUAUAUAUAUAUCUAUUUACUGGAAUUUGUUUGAUUGCAUGGAGUAGAAACAUGUAUUUAUAAAUUUUCAUUAUUAGAAAGGCAAGCUUACUAUUGUCUAAAAUUACUCUUUUCAAGUUCUGCUGUUAGAACUGCGACCAAUUUGGACGCAAUUUCAAUUGCUACAGCUGAACCUUCUUGUAUAGUUGCAACAGUUAAAUUUACAUGUAUCAAAACAAACGCUUAAUUUAUAUCUAUAUGCAGUUACAACUGCAAUGCAUUUACAUGCAACCAAACAAUUUCCUUAAAUGAUAUUAUGAACAAGUCAGAUAAUCUAGUAAUAUAGCAUAUGCCUAUUGACAGAUUAUUUCCUAUCUUCUGGAGGAAUCGUGAUUAUUUAUUAACUUUACAAAAGGACAAUUCUUGGAAGAGAAAUAUAAAAUUUGCAUGAUAGCCAUUAAUGUUAAUAUAUACAUUAGCAUAUGAUAGUCACAUCAUCCAAAAUAGAGACAGUAAUAAGUGCACACCAAGAUGAAACAUUGUACAUUCAGAGAAGAUAUUAUGUUUUCAACAGGAUAGGAAUUUCACAAGAGCAAACCAGCCACGAACAAUACAAGAAAGAGAACGGAUACACAUAUCAUCUUCCAAUCCAAAGAUUUUUUUUUUUCGUUUUUUCUUCUUUUACUUGUUUUUAAGGUAGAGGAGAAGCAUCAACGGAUGUGCCAGCGCAGUUUCUGCCUUCAGUUGAUCCCAGCUUCUAGCUUUCUACAGCAAAAGUCAAAAGAAAAGACAAAUCAGCCCAACUACAAACUGCAAAUACAAUGCCCAAAAAGGACAGAGAAAACUUAUGCAGGAGGUUAUUGGCCAAAAUCACGCAGAAAAUUAGAUAGUAUUCAAGGAAAACAUAUUAUUUUCUAUCAGUUCAUAUGGUCUCACCUGGAUACUAAUAAAGGACCAUGGUCUGGAUUCUAAAGGGCCAUGCCAUAACCAAGUGUGCAACAGCCAUACUAAAUUUCAAAAUAAGUUAAUCAAGCCAAAAAAGAUAUAACAACAGCUCUCCCGUGAAAGAAGGAAUCAAGUAUCUUCCAUGUUUGACUAUUUAAUGAUAAACUCAUAAAUAAUUAGCAACUUACAGGACAAAACUGAAACGCUGAACUACUACACAAGCCAAUAAGGACACAGAAUCUUGGAUCUUGAAUACAAAAUUUGGGCAAGUAUCAAUCAAAGACACAGGCAGAGCUACUAACCCAACACUUGGAAUUAAUUAAUAAACAGGAUCUUGAAUACAAAAUUUGGGCAAGUAUCAAUCAAAGACACAGGCAGAGCUACUAACCCAACAGUUGGAAUUAAUUAAUAAAUAGGAAAGAGAAAGCAAUAUUAUAGCUACCCCAGCUAUUUAGUAUAAUACUCCUUCAAGAUUCCAGCAAUGCUUAUGUAAUUAUUGGUACGCAAAUUGCAAAAUAAUCCUUCAUGAGGUCAAUGACCCAACAAUUCUACUAUUUACACAAAUUAACAAGAAGAAAUAGUUUGUCGUGCCCUACAUUAAUUCCGCCAAACUAUUGCUGAUACAAGUUGGCUGUUUAGUGUUGCCAUGCAAAGAUAGAAUAGCAGUGCACAACUUAAUUGUGUAUCAAACUAGAAGCAACUACAGUACCUUUUCCUUGGUAGAAAUUAGUGUUGACAAAAUAUAUAUAACUAAUUUCAGAUCAACAAAUAUAAUUCACAUGUUUUAUAGAAUAUGAAGAAUUUAACAUCGCUAUCUAACUUCUAGAAUAAAGAACCCACAAGUUUUCAUCAUGAAUUAGCAAAAAUUAGUCAAAGAGAGUACCAAGAAUUAACAAAGAUGCAUCCCAAAUGGGAAAUCCAAUAGCAAGGUAAUAAAAGUAGCCUAAAUUAUUUCUACAUGAUAAAGUACAGUCGAUACAGCUUUUGUUUUCAAUUUACAUACGCUGAAACCAUGAUUUGAUAUUCUCAGCACGAGUCCUAAAUAGUAAAAAGUUUUGGCACACAAACUAAAUAGGCAAUUCUCCUAUUUUGGUAAGAUUUUCCUAAAAUUACUAUUUUGAUAAUUGAUUACAGAUCAAGUUGGUUGCACUUCCUUCUAGUUCUCCUAACGCUGAUGUUGAUUCUGAAUUUGUCAUGCACAAUGACUAUAUAUUUUACAAGAAGAAGUUUCAAUGACGAACAACAGUGUGUAUCCAUGUUGUGCAACCAACCCUAGUCAUAAUUGUUCACCAUAGAAAGUGCACUAAUCAUAUGAUAGGAUAAGCACCUAGUACCAUUGACAUAAAUAAGAGAUUGAUUAGUUUUCAAGAAGCAAAUUUUGAAACAGAAUUGUACAACUGAAAAUAGAUGGUUGUCUCCUUCAUAGCAUGGUCAAAGGAAAAGGCUACCAUUAUUAUUGAACUAAAAUUUUUGCUCUUCGAUAGCAAGAUACUACAAGACAAAAGUUAACCUAUGGAAUAUUGAGAUAAAAUCCUAAGAGCUUGUCUGAGUGUAUGAACAUCUUGUUUAGCACACCUUAUUUAUUUGCUUAAGAAGUUCGUAGCACUUAGUAAAUCUAAUGUGGAUUAUGAUCAGAUUGUGAUCAAAUGACUAGAAACUAGAAAGGCAUACAAGUCAUUUUCUCAUUAAAAGAUAAAUCACUUUGUAGGUGAAUUACACUAUCCUAACAAAUCAUGACCGUCAAAACUUUGCAAGGGGUUAAAAUCAAACUCCUAGCUUGCAAUCACAAAAGAAAGUUCUCCUGGCGCACAAGUUAUCACUGGAUAACUAAGUUCUUACAUCCAAGCAGGCCCUGAAGGUCAAUAUUUUUUGCAUGAAAUGGCUGUUCUGGAGACUGAAAUGUUCAACCACAUACUUCAGGCCCAAGGUCUUUAGUACUUACAACACAAAACAAUAUUAUACGAUGCGGUAAAAAGAACAUUUUAAUUUCUGAUAACUGCAUCAGGCACUCUCCAGAAUGUCCCAAUUCCUGCAAAGAAACAUCAAAUAUUGAAUCUCUAAUGCACCGCAAUGCAGCAAAUUUGUUGCAAGCAUCCUAUAUGCUGCACACCUGCCCUCUGUCAGUCCAACAAAUUGUACACAUCAAUGCCCAUAGUCAUAAUAACAUUCUCUUGCUCUUUUAGCCUCUUAGAAUGGCACGGUGAUCCAUAUCUAAUCUUGUUUCUAUCAGCACAUACUCUCAGACCAAUAAUGAAGGAGUGAGCGCCUCUUCUGCCCAUCUCCUCAACAGCUUCUGUAUUCAAGAAGCAAAAGCCUUCCUUCGAAUGCUUCAAAGUUCGGCAAGAAGUAGUUUUAAGCUAUUACGAAAAAGCUCUACUUAUAUACAGUUGCUCUGGAGAGAGAUCCAGUCUGGCCAAAGAGGUAGCGAGGAUCAAACCACCUCAAGUAAGGGUAAUAAAUUAGCUUAGAUUGAGCGAAUUAACCAACUAAUUGACGCACAAGAUUGAGCAAUAACAAAAAGAGAUAAAACAGGCAAAGAUCAAGGAAAUUUCGUACGAGCAAGACAAAUUAGAUCAAAUUUCAGCAUUAAUACUGUAAGGUCAAAAAUCUCACAGGGAAUUUGUGUUCCUCCGAGGGAUCGUGCUACUACCCGGUCUCCUCCUACGCCACCGACGACACCGCGACGUCGUCCGGAUACCUGACGACGACGACAGGGCAGACGCAGUGGUGGACGCAGUAGUCGCUGACGCUGCCGAGGCGCGCCUUGCUGGCCCUCCUGGAGGCCCCGAAGCCCCUGCUGCCCAUGAUGACGGCGCCGACGCCGAGGCGCUCGACCUCGAGGCAGAGGCGCUCCUUCAUGUCGUGGUCCUUCACGAUGUGGACCCUGAAGGGGAUCCGCGCCUCCACCAGCGGCCGCGCCAGCUCCUCCACCUUCGCCGCCGUGAACGCGUCGAAGUCGUCCUCCAUCUUCUUCUGCUGCGACUCCACCGACGCCGCCGCCGCCGCCGCCGCCUCCUCCUCCUCGGAGCCCUCGGCGGCGGCGGAGAGGGAGAGGUCGGUGAAGCCCCAGUCGGCGCCGUAGAGGACGCUCGUGGGGCGGACGUGGAGCAGCACCACGGCGUCGCCGGGCCGGAGGUAGUUCUGGACGGCCCACCGCACGGCGUACGCGCUCUCGUCGCUCAGGUCCACGGCGAUCGCGAUGCGCCUCUGCGACGCAGCUGGUUGACGUCGAUGACCGACGACUCGAUCGCCGCCGCCGACGACGGCGCCGGCGGAGGAGCCGGAGCCUUCGAAUCGGAUUCCGCAGGGUUCGCCAUCAGCUAUGAGAUGGGAUUAGGUGGGUUGUCCUUGGUCCUUUUCUAUGCCGAAAUUCCUUGCACAGCGGGCGAGAGAGAGAGAAAACGGGAGGGGUUUUUAGACGUUUCCAGAAGGGGCGGAGGGUACUGGGAACAAAAACCCAGCAGCGAUCGCGUGGAAAAUUAUAAGAUAUUACGUUGGGUGAUAAUAACGUUGGAGGUAGGUGGGUAGGGGUGGCAAUCUUGCUGACUCUUCGCGAGCGAACUCAUGUCCAGCUCGAAAUAAGCUCGAGAUCGAAUCGCUCGUUUAGUAAACGAGCCGAAUAUAAGUUGAAUUUUUCAGCUCAUUUAAUAAACAAGCCAAACACGAGCAAGGGUCAGCUCGCUCGUGUUCGGCUCGAUAACAGCUCGAAUACAUAUAUUUUAUAUUCAUAUAACUUAUUUAAUUUUUAUUUAUAUAUAUAAAUAAAUAAUUAUAUAUCUACUAUAUAUUUUUAUAACUUAUUUAAUUUUUAGCAAAAUAAAAAUAUAAAGAUGAGCUCAAUUAUAAAAAAACUUAUUUAUAUGUAAAAUUUCAACUAUUAGAUCACAGUCUAAUAUAUAAGAUUUUAUAAAUUUAUUCUAUAUAUAUAUUCAAUCUUAGUCUUUUUAACUUAUUGUUCGUUGGCCGACUCGUGAGCCGGCUCGUGUUUGCCUUGUUAAUAAACGAGCCGAGCACGAGUUGAUUUUUUUGGCUCGAUACUUUAACGAGCCAGCCCGAGCUCGCUCGCGUUCGGCUCAUUUACACCCCCAAAGGAAGGUAUGAAAGGAAUAUUUUGGAUCAGUAAAAACGUUUAAUACUUAUCUAAAUUAGGGAGCAUUUUGAUUUUUACUAUUUAGUAUUUCAAUUUGUUCAAUCUCAAUUAGUGAAUAAUAUUUUGACUUUAAGAUUUCAGUAUUUUGUUUCUAUUUAUAGAUUUUAUUAACAUACUUUAUGUAAUUUUUAUAAUGAUAAAUUUAUUAAAGUAAGUAAUUAGUUUAAAUUUUGAAGUCAAAUGAUUGAUGAUUGAUUUUAAUACAAUGAAUUAAAAGACUAGAUAGUCAAAUCAAAAUAGUUCAUAAUUUAGACAAGUUCUAUACAUUUAUCUUUUGAAUUAAUUAUAUUAUUUGGCCCUUCGAUUCUCGACUAAGUAUGAAAUAGGAUAAUGAUAGUCUUCGAAUGAAAAUGUGUAAAAUAUAUAUAUCCUAAUUUGGUGGUGUACCACCAGUAUCAUUUUUUAACUUUUGCUUCGCAACUUUUAUUCUUUUAAUUAAAUGUCUAGCCAUAUAUUCCGGUAAGCUAAUAAAUAAAAUUUUUUUAAACAUUUAAAUUUAUAUUUUUUAUCAUUAAAUAAAUAUAUGCGUAACGUAAGGAUUGUAGUUUGCAAGAACUUUAUAUAUUAUUUUAUAUAAAAAUUUUAUUCGACGAAUUAAUAAAAGAACGUCAACCGUCAGUUGGGGCUUCAAUUUUUAUUUAUUUUAAUAUUUUAUUUUUUGAAACUUUUUUAAAGAAAUUGUUAAUUUGGACAAAAAUAGUUUGCUAGAUACUACCUAUGCUUUGGUAUUUACUAUUUUUAUUAUUUAUUAUUUUUUAAGUUAUACAAGAGAUAAUAAUGCCAUAUUAUGAGUGUAGAGAUAGGAGAUAAAUUUAUUAUGGGUGUGAAAAUUUAAUAGUUUUUGAUAAAACAAACACAAAAGCAAGAUAACUUUAAUUUUUACAUUAUUAAGUUUCGACCAAACAAAUAAUAAAACUGUAGAAAAUUUACUUUCAUAAUUAUAAAACCAAAUUUUGAAGAAAAUAUAAUUUUCAUAUAAACUCUUGAACAAUCGAAAGCUCACUUUAUUCUAAAUUUCACCCUCAGUAAAACAAAUAAGUCCCAUCUAAGGCUGCGUUUGGUUCGGGAAUUAAAAACUUUGGUAUAAAUUUUUUUAACCCUAGGAUAGCUUGUUAUUUCGGAAUACUUAGGAAUAAAAUGUAAAUACCGUUUGGUUGGUAAAGCUUGUAUUCUAAGAAUUACCUGAAAUUGUGUUUGGUUAAUUUGGUGAAAUAGUUGAGAAUAGUGAAAAAAGAUGAAUGUUAUAUUUUUUAUAUACCUAUUUUGCCCUUGGGUGCUCUUUCAUAUAUACUAGUGAAGGCCCGCGCUACGCUGCGGAAAAUUUAUAUAAAAAUUUAAAUUUUAAAUUUUAAAUUUAAUUUUUAUUUUUUUGUACAUGAUCCACAACUAUACAAAUAAACAAAAUUUAAAACAGGGGAGGAAAAGGGGGAAAAAAGUUAAAGAAAAGAUAAUAUCAAAAAAAGAAAAAGAAAAGAGGGGAAAAAAAGGAAUAUUUUAAAAAAAUAAAUAGUAAAUUAUAUAAUAAAUUAUUAUAUAAUAAUAAUAUAUAUAUAUAUAAAUAAAAAACUAUAUAUAAUAAAUAAAUAUAUAUUUAUAAAUAAAAUUAUAUAUAUAUAAUAAAUAAUAUAUAUUUAUAAAUAAAAAUGUUAUAUGAUAUAAUAAAUAAAUAUAUAUAUAUAUAUAUAAUUCAUAAUAAAUUAUAGUACUAUAUAUAUUUAAUAAAUAUAUAUAUUUAUAAAUAAAAUAUUAUAUAUACUAAAAUAAAUAAUAUAUAUUUAUAAAUAAAUACUAUGAUAUAUAUAUAUAUAAUAUACAUAUAUAUAAUAUAUUAUAUAUAAUAAGUAAUAUAUUAUAUAUAUAAUAUAUCUUCCCUCUCUUCUCUGCUCUCUUUCUGCUCUCUCUCUCUGUCUCUCUCCGUCUCCCGCCUCGCUUUCUUUUUUUUUCUCUCUGCUUCUCUAUUUCUCUUCUUCUUCUUCGGCGCGAGAGCGGCACUGCUCGGCGGCCCCCGCACCCCGCCCAGCGCCCAGGCGAGGGCUGUCCCGACCCCGCGUCGCCUGCCCCUCGGCUGCGGUUCCUGCUCGCGCAGGUGCACCUCGGCCCGCGGCCGGCGCCAGCGCCCCGUCUCCCGCUGUCGCCCCGCCGCGCUCCGCCUUCCGUGCUCGGCUUACCCCGCCCCCGCCUCCCGCUGCCUCGCCGCGCCCGCUGCGGGAGAGGGGUGAGAAAGAGAAGAGCAGGGCAGGAAGAAAAGAUGGGAGGGCGUGUGGGAAGAUGGGAGAGGCGUUCUGGGGAGGAGAUGUAUAAAGGGAUGGGCGGGGAGACGGAGCACACAACACACUUCUCUCUGCUUCGAUCGGCACGGGGCUCGGCUCCACACUCCGCACCCCCACUGCGGCCCGCGCCCCGCCGACACCGCUGGGCGCGGGACCGCGGCGACGUGGGGAAGAAAGAGCCGCCGGGGCGUGGUAGAGGUGGAGCUGAGGGUGGGGAAAACGGAUGAGGGGCAGAGAGUGUGAGGGGUGUGAUUGGUGCGGAGAGGGGAGGAAGAGGUGAGGGAGAGAGAUAACCGGUGGUGGGCGGGGUCUUUGCAUGUGCGUGCGGUAGCGGCGUCGGUGCGGACCUAGCGCCCGCCGCGCCGUGAGAGAGGCGAGAGGAGUUUUGUCUGCUCUCUCUGUCUCUCUCUCUCCUGCAUCACUCUGCUCUGUGCUCUGUCCCCCCGGUGCCUAUCUCUACAUGCGGGCGUGAGCUGGCACGGGGCCCGGGGGGUUGGAAUCGCGCUGCACGGCCCCCGCUUCGUCUCUUCCUUUUCUCCCUGCUCUUGACCUUCUUCCUUGCGUCUGUUUUUCCGUCUCUCUUCUACUGACUCUCUCUCUCUCUCCUCUGUUCUCUGUUCUCCCCGGCUUACUCUGCUAUGCUCUCUCUCAUCCUCCUCUGUUCUCUUCGUCUCCCUCUCUCUUUCUCUCGCGCGACGGGCCACCAAACACGGUAGGACGAAUGGGGUGGUCGCCGUCAAACUCAUCGUUCCUUAUAUAUAUAUAUAUAUAUAUAUAUAGAUGGUUAAUAAUACACAUACAAGUACAUGUUGGUUUAGAAUAAUAGAUAAUUUGAUAAAUUUUUUUAUUUAUUUGGUUAUAAUGUUAAGUAAAUUAAUAUGUUUUUUAAAAUAAAUUCUAGUUGUUACAAAAUCUCAACAAUACAAAACAAAAUUAGAUUUAUGGCCAAUCGAUUUCUUUUCAAUUGUAGCAAAGUUGUAACAGAAGAAAUUUUUUAAUUAUGUCAUUCGACAUUAUAACAAAGCAUAAUUCCCAUUUACAAUAUUGUAACACAAUAAGUUUGCAAAACGAAAGCAGAGAACCAAUGUUAAAAUACAACUCCAAUCAACAAACACACCAAUUAGCUAAAACAAAGUUUAUAUAUUAAAAUAAAUCGGAGCAUUUUACGGCUAAAAGUAAUCAGUGCGAACAUAACAUAACUUCCAAUUACAAAGAUAUGAAAAACAGCAUGCAAUAAAUUCAGUUUAAAGACACAGCAUAUAAGUUGAUACAGCAAAGAGAAAGCAUGAAGUAAAAAACAAAUUUACAUCAUUCUCAAUAUUUCCUCCUAUCUAUUGUUCCAAAGUUGCCCUGUUAUCAUAGUGCGAAGGGCGUCUCCUCUCCGAGCCCCUACUACAGGUUGAUCGAGUUAGGAGUGAAACUGGGAGAUCCAGUUUCAACUGUAGUGUUGAGGUUCAAAGGUAUAAAAUGUCCGUGGUUCCCUGGCUAUUCAUGAAGUUAUACGUUUACCUGAGUAACGGCUACCUGCUGUGUGAACUACUUAGUAGUUGAGGAUAACCCGAUCUGCUCAGAGNAAAUAUAUAUUUAUAAAUAAAAUUAUAUAUAUAUAUAUAUAUAUAUAUCUUCCCCUCUCUCCCUCUGCUCUCUUUCUCUCUCUCUCUCUCUCUCUCUCUCUCUCUCCCGCCUCGCUCUCUCUCUCUCUGUUUCUCUCUUUCUCUCUUUCUCCUGUUCGCUGCGAAGCGGCCACGCUCGCGGCCCCCGCACCCCGCCCCGCGCCCACGCGAGGCGCCCGCGCCCCGCGUCGCCGCCCCUCGGCUCGUUCCUGCUCGCGCAGGUGCCCACCCUCGCCCCGCGCCGCGCCCGCGCCUCCGUCUCCCGCUGUCGCCCGCCCGCGCCUCCGCCUCCCGCUGCCUACCGCCGGCGCCCCCGCCUCCCGCUGCCUCCCGCCCGCGCUGGGGAGAGGGGGAGAGAGAGAGAGAGAGCGGGGAGGAAGGAAAAGAUGGGGAGAGGGGUGGGAGAGUGGGAGAGAGUCUGGGGGGAGGGAGAGGUAUAAAAGGGGAGUGGGGGGGGGGAGAGAGACACACACACACACUGUCUCUCUCUCUCUCAUGCGCGCACGGGGGGUGCGGGUCGCCCGCACCUCCCCACUGCGGCCCGCGCCCCGCCCGCACCCGCUGGGCGCGGGUCGCGCGCACGUGGGGGAGAGAAAGAGCCGCGGUAGGGGGGAGGAGGUGGGGAAAGAGAGAGGGGGAGAGGGAGGGGUGCUGGGGGCGGAGAGAGGGAGAGAGAGUGAGAGAGAGAACCGGGGGGUGGGGCUUGCCAUGUGCGGGCGGCCCGCACCCCCCGCGCACGCUGAGAGAGGGAGAGAUGCUUUGUCUGCUCUCUCUCUCUCUCUCUCUCCCUGCUCACUCUCUCUCUCUCUCCCCCUCUCUCUCUCGCGCGUGCUGCGGGCGCGGGUCGCCUGCACGCAGGCCCCCCCUCUCUCUCUCUUUCUCUCCCUUUCUCUCUACCUCUCUUCCUGGCUCCCUCUCUCUCUCUCUCCUUCUACUCUGCUCUCUCUCUCUCUCCCUCUGUUCUCUCUCUCUGUAUGCUCUCUCUCUCUUCUCCCUCUGUUCUCUCUCUCUCCCCCUCUCUCUGUAUGCUCUCUCUCCCUCCUCCCUCUGUUCUCUCUCUCUCCCUCUCUCUUUCUCUCGCGCGAGGCCCCACAAAACACGGGGAGCUCGCCGUACAAACUCUCGAUUCCAUAUAUAUAUAUAUAUAUAUAUAUUUAAUUUAAAUAUAUUAUUGUGUAAUAUUUUAUAUUUUAUAUAUAUAUUAUUUAUAAAUACAUAAUAAUUUAUUUUAUAGUANNNNNNNNNNNNNNNNNNNNNNNNNNNNNNNNNNNNNNNNNNNNNNNNNNNNNNNNNNNNNNNNNNNNNNNNNNNNNNNNNNNNNNNNNNNNNNNNNNNNNNNNNNNNNNNNNNNNNNNNNNNNNNNNNNNNNNNNNNNNNNNNNNNNNNNNNNNNNNNNNNNNNNNNNNNNNNNNNNNNNNNNNNNNNNNNNNNNNNNNNNNNNNNNNNNNNNNNNNNNNNNNNNNNNNNNNNNNNNNNNNNNNNNNNNNNNNNNNNNNNNNNNNNNNNNNNNNNNNNNNNNNNNNNNNNNNNNNNNNNNNNNNNNNNNNNNNNNNNNNNNNNNNNNNNNNNNNNNNNNNNNNNNNNNNNNNNNNNNNNNNNNNNNNNNNNNNNNNNNNNNNNNNNNNNNNNNNNNNNNNNNNNNNNNNNNNNNNNNNNNNNNNNNNNNNNNNNNNNNNNNNNNNNNNNNNNNNNNNNNNNNNNNNNNNNNNNNNNNNNNNNNNNNNNNNNNNNNNNNNNNNNNNNNNNNNNNNNNNNNNNNNNNNNNNNNNNNNNNNNNNNNNNNNNNNNNNNNNNNNNNNNNNNNNNNNNNNNNNNNNNNNNNNNNNNNNNNNNNNNNNNNNNNNNNNNNNNNNNNNNNNNNNNNNNNNNNNNNNNNNNNNNNNNNNNNNNNNNNNNNNNNNNNNNNNNNNNNNNNNNNNNNNNNNNNNNNNNNNNNNNNNNNNNNNNNNNNNNNNNNNNNNNNNNNNNNNNNNNNNNNNNNNNNNNNNNNNNNNNNNNNNNNNNNNNNNNNNNNNNNNNNNNNNNNNNNNNNNNNNNNNNNNNNNNNNNNNNNNNNNNNNNNNNNNNNNNNNNNNNNNNNNNNNNNNNNNNNNNNNNNNNNNNNNNNNNNNNNNNNNNNNNNNNNNNNNNNNNNNNNNNNNNNNNNNNNNNNNNNNNNNNNNNNNNNNNNNNNNNNNNNNNNNNNNNNNNNNNNNNNNNNNNNNNNNNNNNNNNNNNNNNNNNNNNNNNNNNNNNNNNNNNNNNNNNNNNNNNNNNNNNNNNNNNNNNNNNNNNNNNNNNNNNNNNNNNNNNNNNNNNNNNNNNNNNNNNNNNNNNNNNNNNNNNNNNNNNNNNNNNNNNNNNNNNNNNNNNNNNNNNNNNNNNNNNNNNNNNNNNNNNNNNNNNNNNNNNNNNNNNNNNNNNNNNNNNNNNNNNNNNNNNNNNNNNNNNNNNNNNNNNNNNNNNNNNNNNNNNNNNNNNNNNNNNNNNNNNNNNNNNNNNNNNNNNNNNNNNNNNNNNNNNNNNNNNNNNNNNNNNNNNNNNNNNNNNNNNNNNNNNNNNNNNNNNNNNNNNNNNNNNNNNNNNNNNNNNNNNNNNNNNNNNNNNNNNNNNNNNNNNNNNNNNNNNNNNNNNNNNNNNNNNNNCGGUACAAAAUGUGUACCGGUACAGCCAUCGACCUGUCACCGGUUACACCUCGUGCAGAAUGCAAUCCGAGGGUAGGCUAAGUCCAACUCUUUAGUGACUUUAGCGCUACAUAAAAUACUACAAUUCUCGGGAUUCGAACCAUAGGUCGGAACACUGUCAACGACCCACCAGAAAAUCUGGAAAAGCUCAGGACACAGUCCAAACACUCGAACCUCGCAAUUUGCAGAGAUCCAGUGUGUUACAUUUGGUAUGAGGUCCCUGGGCUAAUAAAGAGUUGAAUUACUCUAUUGAAUUGUGAAAUUGCAUUGAAAUAGUGUUUUUGAGAAAACUGACUUCGAUAAUGCACUUUUGCAGGAUAGAAGUCCGAAUGUGAAAUUGACAGCUUACAAACCAAAUUGGGGGUAAAAGAAACUCGCUGGCGAAGUAGGCUCGGCAAUCCAUCGCUCCUACGCAAUGAUAUCGCCAAAAGAAGAUUUUCGGCGUCAAUAGUCACGAGCGCGGGUCGCGGUUCUCGGGAAAGCGCUAGAGACGCAUUUCUCUCAUUCCAGAAUCAAAUAAAGGUGGGUUGUGCUUACCGAAGUGAUUAGGUCACUUCCAUGCCAAAGUAAAAUAUGGUUUCAUUUGACGCAUAAAUGAAUAUGAAUGCUAAAUACACAUGAGUUGGCAUGUAUGAAUAUGGGCAUAUGUUAAUGCUAGAUGACUUAUAAUGAUUCUCAUAUAAAUAUGAAUGCUAGGUGCACAUGGACAUGAAAGCUAGACAUAGUUAUGCUAGACGGAUAGUUAUGAAUGUGAAUACAUAUAAUUGUCGAUAUAUGAAUGUGAAAACUAGACGCAUAGUAUGCUAAAUUCAUAUAAUCAAAUAUAUGAUAUAUAAAUGUUGAACUUGUAAACGCCAAGGGCAUGUAAGUUGAAUGUGAAAUGUGAAAUGUGAAAUGUGACAUGUGAACAUAGAGGUUAAAGCAUAUGUAGUUAUCGACAUGUGAAAGCGAAUAGUUGAUGCCUAUAUCUAAACGUAUAUGAAAGUGAAUGUACUAUAGUUCGAGCUAUAUGAAAGUCGAUAAUUCCAGUUGAUUAGAGACCUCGAUAGUAACAAGACAAGCGAGAAUAUGUAAAUUAGAAUCCUAGGAAUGAACAACUAGGAUGAUACAUAGAUCGAGUGGUAUGACCUAGUGGUAGUAAACAUAGGUCGGACAUGAACCUAGUGUCAUUGGACAUAGGUCAAGUAAAUAAACCUAGAGUCGAGUUCUAGGUGAAAAUGAUAUAGAACCUAGCAAGUGAACCUAGGUUAUGAUGUAUAAUGAGACUUAGUACAUUUAAACUAAGUUGUGGAUUUUAGUGGUAUAGUGACCACUAGGAAAGGAUUAGUUUCGACCAGGAGGGUCGUCAACAUAGGGUAAAGUGAGUAAACCCUCAAGUUGUGAAAGUGAAUUCCGGAAUCCCAAGAUCUGUGAUGACCUUGGUAUCAAGGCUAGGGCGUGUGCGACGAUUUCGCCGCCGGAUGGUUAGCCAGUUUGUGGAUCCUACCGCCUGUUGACUGAACCACUGUCGUGGCGUGUGCGACGAUUUCGCCGCCGGGUGGCUAAGUCAUAGACCUAGGCUGUUGUUGGGUGAGGUGCGAUUUGUUCGCCGCCAGACAGCUAGGACAGGAGUACGGUGAGCUGUUGCCAGCUGAGGUGCAUGUGAGAGUUCCUUCACCUCGAGCUAGACAUUGCGCAGACUAUCCGCGAUUGAUUGACUCAAGACCGAGUCUGUUGGCAUAGAGAACUAAGGUAAAGGAAACCUUAGGAAAAAAUCACCAGUGAGCAUAGUAUGAUAAAGAGUAAAAAAAAUACAGAAAAUAACUAAUGAACGAGAAUAGCUAAUAAAGAAAAGAACGGCCACAAGUAAGGAAUGGUUAAUGCUUUAAGUAGAAUCAAGUAAUCUACUUACAUGAUUUACAGGUGUUGCAUAUUGCAUAGCAGCGAGGCAAGGUAUGGUAUUAUGUGUUGCAUAGUUUAAUAUCUAUCUAUUUGUUGAACCAACCUACUGUUGCCUCCUUUGGACCUGGUGGGUCGAGCUCUUCCCUUGGGUGGCCGUACCCACUGGGAACUAUAUUUAUAUAGUUCUCACCCCCGUGUUGUUUUUGGGGGUAUAAGUUCGCACGUGAGCGGCGCGGCGGCGCGAGGACAGAGCGUAGCUCCGUAGAUAGCGCCCUACCACCGAGACCAGAGAUAGAAGUACCCUGACGAAGUCAAGUUCAGAGUUCAAUUUGAAAGAAGCAAACUUGUAGCAAAAUUGUAUAAGUUUUGUAAUAACUUAAAGGUAUUUGUGGUUAUGUAAAUAUAAAAUCUUGUAAAUGUAAAAGAAUCUCUGAGAUGAAUGCUUGUAAUAGCAUAGUUAGCAUCUUAUGUUUUUGAUACUUAUGCAGUCUACAUACUUGCUACGGUUCCUGUUUGGAACCCCUUGUAUUGCAUUGUUUAGAUUGUUGACGCCUAGAACGGACAGGGGAGGCUCUGUCCGUUCGGCGGUCUGUCGGCGUGNCUUGUAAUAGCAUAGUUAGCAUUUUAUGUUUUUGAUACUUAUGCAAUCUACAUACUUGCUAUAGUUCCUGCAUGGAACCUCUUGUAUUGCAUUGUUUAGAUUGUUGACGCCUAGAACGUACAGGGGAGGCUCUGUCCGUUCGGCGGUCUGUCGGCGUGCCCGAAUCCGACCAAAUAGGCGGAGCUCGGGGCGUGACAUAAGGAUUGCAUUUCAAGUGUUCUAAAAUUCACAUAAAUCAUGUUUAACAUGGAUUUGCUUUUAAAAAGACUUUACGAAGAGUUUAGAAACCAUAGGGGCCAUUUUGCCCCGUUUUCAUGAAGUCAAACCCACCACAACACUCACGAUCCUUCGUAAGCUCCGACGAAGGUGUCAACUAGUCUCCUAACACCCUAAAGAUGUAGGAACAAAGGUCAAACGGACCAUACGAACAAUACAAGGCUCAAUCAAAAGCAACCUAGGCUAAGGUGGAGGAAACUCACCUUAAGGGAAGAAAUCCUCACUCAAACUCUAAAUGGGGGCAAGAACCCUUCCAAUUCAACCUAAAGGAAGGUUCUAAACCAAUCAAUAAGGUCCCAAAGCCCUCAAAUCAAAAAGCCCCAAAACUAACCCUAGAAUUCCAAUCUAGGGUUCCAUAUAGUAAAAUCUAGAAAAACUUGUAUUAAAUGGGGAAUACAAGCUACCAACCUCAAGAGAAGCUUCAAUCCAAGCUCUAAACCAAGUAGGGUUGAAGUUUGAUCCUCCACAAAGCUCCAACCGCAAGCUCCAAGCCCCCAAGGUGAGAAAUGAGGAAGAAGAUGAUGCUCCAAGGCCUCCAAGUGAGCUCCUCUCCUUUUCCUCCAACUCCUUCUUCUUCUCCUUCUCUUUCUCUCUCUAGAAUCGGUGUGAAGGGGAGAAAUGAGGAGGGAAGAGAGUGAAAGGGCCAUAUAGACCAUCUAGUGCAACAAAAUCCCGAAAAGCCCCUCAAAAACUCAAAUUCACAUCAGCUCGGUCUGGGCAGUUUUUGCCCAGAGGGACCGGUCUCCCUGACUUGGGACCGGUCUCUCAGCCUGCCCCGAAAAUCCAACGUUCGGGAACCGGUCUCUCCCCGCACGGGACCGGUCUCUCCCCCUGCAGAUGCACUCGGGGACCGCUCUCGCCUGCCAGGGACCGGUUGCCUCGGCAACUGCCGCAACACUGAGCUGAGGGGACCGGUCUCUCAUAUCAGGGACCGGUCCCCGAGAGUGAAAACUCUCAGGACUAAGCCAAAACUCUAGAGAUCGAACUUUUAGGCCGGAAUACCAUCUACGGCCUUCCACCAAGUAUGGAAAAGUUCGGAGUACACAUCAAACACUCGAACCUCGCAAUUUGGAAAGGUCCAGUGUGCUACAGGCACUUUAUGGGCGUAGGUGGCGCUCUCCUAUUCAUUGGAGCGAGGUAGGUGAAAGAGUCACCCUUGGUCCGGAUGUGGUGCGAGAGGCGGAAGAGAAAGUCCGUCUUGCUCGCCAACGAUUAUUGACGGCACAAUCACAGCAACGAAGCUAUGCGAAUAAGCGCCAAAAGGAUUUGGAGUUCGCGGUUGGCGACUGUGUGUUUCUUAAAGUGUCGCCAAUGCACGGGGUGAAGCGGUUUGGCAUUCGGGGGAAGUUUAGUCCCCGGUAUAUUGGCCCGUAUGAGAUUCUAAAAUGGAUCGGGCCGGUGGCAUACAAGUUAGCAUUACCGCCGAAGCUUGCUGGAGUGCACAACGUGUUCCACAUAUCGAAUCUCUGCAAGUAUUUUCGUAACUCCUCACAUGUGUUGGAGUAUGAGUCGGUGGAGUUGCAUGAGGAUGCCAGUUACGAAGAAUUUUCGGUGAGCAUUCUUGCUCGAGAGGAGCGGAAACUACGGAAUCGGACCAUUCCGUUUGUCAAAGAGUAAUGGAGUAAUCACUCGAUGCGUGAAUCCACGUGGGAGCUCGAGGAAAAGAUGCGCAAGGUGUAUCCUCACUUGUUCGAGCAAAUGAGCUAAGGUACGUGUUGAGUUUCGCGGCCGAAACUAUUUUUAAGGGGUGGGAAAUGUAACGUAUCACUUCCCGGUAAAUCGUGCCGAGUUUCGUCGAAACGAACAGAACGCGGAGUGGAACAAGUUAUAAUGGGUUCUAAGUGCUUUAGAACCUAUGUAUAUGGUAUAGGGACCUGAGAGAGUAAAAUUGGAAAAUCUGGCCAAGUCUCAGAUUUUGGACUCUCGGGGACCGGUCCCUGCGAGGAGAGACCGGUCCCCGUAGGUUGGAAAAUUGCCCAACGGCUAAGUUCUAAAAAUCGUGCUCUCAGGAACCGGUCCCUAGAGGAGAGACCGGUCCCUGGAGGAGAGACCGGUCCCCGUGCUCGUAGUCAGCCAAAAAGAGUGAAAAUUUGGCUAAGUCCUGAGAGGUGUGCUCUCGGGGACCGGUCCCUGCGGGGAGAGACUGGUCCCCGUAUGCGAAAAAUGCCCAGUGAGGGCUAAUUGUAAGAAAUGCAAUUGAGAGGGGCUUAUGUGCUAAUGUGACUUGAUGAAGGGUUAUAUGUGUUAGGGCUUGUGUGAGAGCUCAUUUGCUCUCAACCCUACACCAAAACACUCAUCUCUCUCUCUCAAAAAAGUCUCUUUCUCUCUUCCCUUCUAUCUAGAGCUUGGAUCAAGGGAGGAGUUUGGAGGAGCAAGCUUGGAGAGAAAGCUUUCCAAGGUGAAGGCAAGCUUGAGCAAGAGCUUUGAAGGGAAAGCUUGGGACUCAAAGGUGAGUUUCCAUGAUUUGAGUUAAGGUUUUGGGUUGUAGCUUCUAGUUGAAGCAUCUAGGAGCUUCUAUGGUGGAUUCCUCCAUGAUUAUGCAAGGUAGGGGCUUGUUUGGGGAAGAUGAUAAUGUACAAGAACCUAAAGUUAGGGUUUUGAGAUUUUGAGGUUCAAUCUUGGGAUUGAUCUUUUCUUAACCUAAUUGGUAGGUCAACAAACGCGUUGGUGUGCUCGGUUCGGCGAUACGACGAGCGUGCGCAAAGAAAUUGAAGAAACGGGCUAAAUUGGUACAGAUCGUCGCAGCUUACAGCGUAGAGGUCUAAAAAUCACGAAAAAUUGGAUUACGAAAUCUUAGCAUCACCAAAAGGUGGGGGGUGCUAUCCGGAAACACCGAAUUUCUCUCUAUGUCUAUGUUACCUUCUUUGAGCAUAUUGGCGUUAGCAUUCAUGCAUAUAGGGUAGUGUGAUAUGUGUUCUUGGUUGAAUUGCAUUUAGAUGGUUAAAGAAUAUGUGAAAUGAUAAAGAACCAUGUGAACUAUGUAUGAAAGAACCCUAUGUGUAUGUGAAUGCGAGAACAGACUAUGACAAUAGUAAAUAAAGGUGACAUUGACAUUAGUGACCAGAUUGGCAUCGAAAAUGAGAACGGCUAAACAAGGUUUAACCAUUGUGGCAUUAGGACCAUUGUGAUUCAGAUGUAGUGGUAUAUGUGAUAUGGUAAUAACCUAUCAUGGGUAUUGAGGCUUUGUGCAUUGAGACAGGUUUGGCUACGUCCUCAAAUUGAGGAUUGGAUCGUACUCACACAUUGGUUCCGGCUUGAGAGAGGUAGCUCCUUCUCAAGCGGUGUGCUCCGGAGUGUAGACACCACGGGGAGAUUACCCCGGCGAAGAUCCCUCGGGUGGUUGAGCCUUGUGCCUCCCCCGGUAGACGGGAUGUGUGGAUUAUGAGUUUGGGAUGAACCAGGAGUACUCCGGGAUGAUUGGAUAAAGGCCAAAGAGAAUGAGACAUGAAAAUGCAUGCAUAAUUAUCAUGUAUUGGAUUAUCUAUCUAUCUGCUGACAGCUUCUUGCAGGCAUUAUAUUAGUAGUACAUUAGUUGGUUUGUUAUCUACUUUCUUGAAAUACAUAUGCCUAAAUAGACCUAGUGGGCGAGUCGGUGCGGUCGGCGGCCGAACCCACUGGGAACUUCGUUUUAGUUCUCACACCACCACUAACCUUGCAGAUCCGUGCGCGAGCGGGGCGGCGGAGGAUCGAGGCAAGGGUAUCGCGCCGUAGAUAGUGGCGGCGGAGGAUCGAGGCAAGGGUAUCGCGUCGUCGCCACGCGUAGCCGCCGCCACUUUGACAGCCUACGGCCAAGCUGGCCAAGCAUGGGCCGUGGCCAUCAUUGCUUCUGGCCUGCGUGUUGUCGCCGCCUGAAAGCGGCCAUACCGCCCUCCCCCGAGUUCGGGCAACCGCCCUUGCCAGCCGCCGCUGACCCUGCGCGCCGCCGCCGCCGCCCUAGCAGCCUGCGGCCAGCCUGGGCAACUCUGGGCUGAGGAGAAUUUAGUUCUUUCCCCUCACACCACCGCAGCUCGGGGCCGACACUGUCGCCUCUCUCUGGUCUCCGACGGCCCGUCGCCGCCACCCCGAGGCUUCCCCGACAGCUACUUUCCCGUUUUGCACCGCCGCGGCCAUUCAUGUGCUCGUGCGGGCUGGCACGGCCGGGCACAGGUGAACCGCGUCUCCAGACCCCGGCCACCAUCCCCGAUCCCUCCUCUGGGUCUCAGAGGAGGCCCACGCUUUUUCCCUCGUUGCUCCGGCCGCCGCCGUGGCCGGAGGGACUUGCCAAGCCCAAGUUAAGGCAGUGCGGGCUCGGGUUGCUCCAGCGCCACCGCCGCCGGACAGCGUGAGCGCCGGCUCCGCCUGGCCAGCCACACCUGUCCGCCGCUGGCGCUGGAGCUUCCUUCUAGCCGGACCGAGCCCAUGCACUCCUCGGGUUUGCACAGCUAGGGCAUCAUUGCCCAUCGCAGCGGCCGCCUCCCGUUGCCGGCCGACGCGUGCCCCGGCCUUCCUCCGUCGCCAGAAACCUCCCCCUGCCGGCGCGCCCGCCGUCCAGCCGCUGCCGGAAAAGCCGUGCUCCGCCUUGCUCUAGUGAGUGUAUUUAGUGGUUUCUGCGCAUGGUUUCCUGUUUAGAUCACUGUUCUGGCGACCCAGGGCUGUUCCAAUGCCUCCGGAGGUGAGCACGGUGGUCGUAAGUCAGUGCUGAUCACAGUGCUUACCUUAUUUGGGGUCAACGAGUGUCGAAUGUGAUAGUUUGAGGCGUUUUAGUUUCAGCCCACAGUUUUAGCUGAACUUCGUGUCAUUCCUGCGCUCUCCACAUGGACCGGCAGUGCUCUGAAAUGUGAGCACGACCUCCAGCACACCGAGACCUGUCAGCGGGUGUCUAGGCCAGACUGGAAGAUCCUCGGUUGGCGUUAUCGGGCCGUAAAAUCAAGAAAAUCGCAUAAAAUGAUGCGAUUUUGUGUAGUCCUAGGGGCUUGUAUGCAAUUGUACAGAUCGUGGUUGCUGUGGGUAGUGUGUGUGGGCAGCGGGUGACCUCUGGACUGAUUUUCCGAGGCCCCAAGCCCUUGCGGAAAUCAAAAAUUGAUUUUCGGUGCGUUUUUUGGAGAAAUCCGCUGACGGAACGCGAUUUCGGUUUGGAAUUCUUCCGACGGUGCCUCAUGAGCAAUUGGUUUAUCGCUGAGCCCUGUUGGCUGGUCACUCGCAUCGUUUCGGGGGUUCAGAAACGACGGGUGAGCAAUGGUGGGUUCCGGUGUGGAAUUGGACACUUUCGAAAAUCCGGAUCGGAACGAUUAUCCGAUGACACAUCGUUUUGGAGUGAGUUUGUAUCCUCGCUGCCAAGUGACAUGAAAAUAUGUAUUUAGUGGCAGCGGGCGACUCAUGGUAGGAGUCGGUGCAUUCGGGACAGUUCAUGGGUCCCAGCGGAGUCCCGGUGCGAUUUUCGGGACUCCCGCCAAGUUACGGUAGUAGGUUUUGGGAAACCGAUCUCCGUGGUAUUGUUUGUGGGGUUGUGGUUUCAGUGGUUGUUAGUUGUGGGUUAGAUACUAACCCGGUGGACCUCCGUAGGUCCGGUUGACAUUCUUUCGCAGUCAGGAGACAGACGCGACUUUCUUACAGGUGGGUAUUUCGAUUCGAAGUCGGUAUAGUGGUGCACGCUCGGUAAUAUCUUCUUACUCUUGUUCUCUCAUUGUUAUCUUACAUGUAAUGCAUCUGAUAUAUGUAUAUAUAUAUAUAUUGAGCUUUGCACCCAUGUUGUUCCCGUAUUUACUCUACUUGGUUGUUUCCAUGUUUAGUAUCAUGAGUAGGAGUAGAGUAGAUGUUAUCUGCAUGUGAUAUCUAUGACCUGGUUGGUCGGUCCUCAUAUUUGGUAUCUGUGACCUGGUUGAUCGGUUCUCCUAUUUGGUAUCUGUGACCUGGUUGGUCAGUUCUCCUAUUGUAAGGAAGUGAAUUCUCGAAAUCUGAGAGUUGGACUUCGUCCAGGAUCGACUAAUUGUCGAGUGGGUAGGCUUCGGAUGAGCUAAAGAUGCCCAAAACACAAAAAAUGCUUUGGAGUUGAGUCCGCGAGAGCAAAUGAUGCAAAAUCUGCACUUGGCAAAUUCUGCUCUCGGGGACCGGUCCCUGGCGGCGGGGACUGGUUCCCGUAAGCAGGAAUUCUGGCAGAGGGGAGGUCUGCGCAAAACUGCUCUCGGGGACCGGUCCCUAGUGGGAGGGACCGGUCCCAUAGCUGAGGGUUGCGGCAGGUGCCUGUUAAGGAUUUUUCUAAGUUGGCGGAUUUCGUGAAGUCGAAUGGAGUCUUGAAGAGUUGAAGAUGAAGAAUUGAAGCUAAGAUUACAAGACUUGUGAGGCAAAGACUCGUUCGUGAUGCUCGACUACUCAGGUAUGUAGACUAAUAGUUUGUGGUGAAAUUAUACUUGAGUAAAAGUGUUUAGAAGACUUAGGAUUGGUUUUUAAAUAUAAAACUGAAAAAAUUCUGAGUUUUUCAAGGUUCAGGAUUCAGACCCUAAGGAUGAUCCGGACCCCGUAGGUCCUCUCUACGUGUACGCAGCAAGGGUCCGGACCCUCUGGUUAGGAUCCGGAUCCCGUAGCAGGAUAAUCUUGUCACGCAGCAAGGGUCCGGACCCUCUGGUUACGAUCCGGACCCCAUACCAUGAUAAUCUUGUUACGCUGCAAAGGUCCGGACUCAUGGGUUAGGAUCCGGACCCCGUACCCUAUAUUUUUUGAUACGCAGAGAGGGUCCGGACCCUAGCUUCACAAUCCAGACCGUCAAGGUCUGGACCCUGUGUCACGCCCCGUGCCCGCCUCUUUGGUCGGAUUCGGGCACGCCAACAGACCGCCGAACGGACAGGGUUUCCCCUGCACGCGGACAGAGUCUCCCCUGUACGUUCAAGGCGUCGCAAUCAAUACAAGUACAAGAGGUUCCAAACAGGAACAAUUUUCAACAACGAUUGCAUAAGGAAGGUAUCAAACAACAUAACACAUCCUAUGUUAUUACAAUCAUUCAUCUCAUCAUUUUACAUCGCAUUUUUCAUUACAUUGAUCCUAAACUUCCAAAUAUACAAUCGAUUUCUAAACAUAAUAUUACAACUUGAUUCUUUUUUUUUCUUUUCUUUUUCCUCUACCCUAGGCUAUGCGACUCGGGGUACCCCUAUCUGGUCUCGGUGGUAGGGCGCUAACUUCGGAGCUACGCCCUUUCCUCGCGCCGCCGCGUCGCUGGCGUGUGAACCUGUACCCCAAAACAAACAACACGGGGGUGAGACUAUUGUCCAUAGUGCUCAGUGGGUACACACCACCAAGGGAAAAGCUCAACCCACCAGGUCAAAUGAGGCCAUGCAACAUGUUAGUCCAACAGAUACAGGUACAUAUAACAUCAUGCGAUACAUGUUCAUGCCUCACAAAUAUGCAAAUUAUGCAAUCUUAGUCAUUCUUUAUCAUUAGCCUUUCUUUAGAAUUUGCUAUUCUUUAUCAUUAACCUUCUUUGGAAUUUACUAUUCUUUAUCAUUAGCCUUCUUUACUCUUUAUUCUUUAUUUUUAUUCUUUAUUCUUUCUCAAUUGUCAUUUCUUUCCUAAGGUCACUUUACCUUACAACUAUGCACUCGACUCGGUCUUGAGUCAAUUCAUAAUAAAUACAAGAUCCACUUUCCAAUCCAUGAUCCUUUAAUCUCACAGCUAACCGUAGGUUUCGCCACAUUAAACUUGCUCCACAUUAAGUCCAUCCUCGUAGGAACUCACCGCUAGGACCGUCCUGGGUUUACUCCAACCGUGAUGCAAAACUCGGGAGCGCAUCGCUCGAGAGGGAGCGACCGCCUCGAGCACGGAACUCAUAGCAAUAUGAUCAAUCCUUAACUCUAAGGAUAUGUAGUUGAAUUAUGGCUUUACACUAACUUUAGUGUUCUUUACAUACAUUAGUUGCUAACUCUAGCAAUCUAUUGUUCUUUACCCCAUUGUCAAUUACUCUAGUAAUUGUCAUUCUUGAUACAACUUGUUCUUUUGUUGCACACACUAACUCUAGUGUGCUUCAUGUCACAUUGGUUGCUAACUCUAGCCAUUAUCAUUGUUCUUUACACUUGCUUGUCUUUGCACAUUCACUUUACAUCGCCUCUAGCCAUUAUCAUUAUUCUUUACAUCACAUUGCUUUGCCUUGUCUCAAGCCAUUAUCAUUAGGUUCUCACAUUACAUCUCAUGCAUACACAUAGAUUAUUUAGAUUCUUAAUCAUUCUAAUAAGCACGUGUACUCACAUCAUGCAACAUUACAUUAUUAUCAUCACAUUAUUUUACAUUAUCUUUAGCCAUUAUCAUUAUUCUUUACAUCACAUUUAUUCUUUGUUGUCCCACACUAACUCUAGUGUCCACUUUACCAUUUCGAAUGCCACUCGAUCUAUGUUCAACAUGCAUAUAUUUUGUCAUCCCACUACAACAAGUAUAUGAUUUACUGACAUAUUACUUGUGACAUAUAUAUAAAUGACACUAAAAAUUAUUUUUAGCAACAAAAUUUUAUAAAUAUUACUAAUUCUAUUUUUUUAGCAACAUUUAGACUAUAAUAAUGCUAAAUGUAAGAAUCAACAACUUUUAUUUUAAAAUAUUGCAAUGAUUUAGCAACAUAUCAUAAUAAAUGUUACUAUUAAUAUAUUUUUUUAAUUAAAAUUUUCAAAAAUAAUAAUUAAGCUCCCUCAUGUACACAUUUCCCGCGGCCUUUUUUUACUUCUCACAUAAGCAACCUGAAAACUCUCUCACCUCCUCAACCUUUCCACCUUCUCCAUCAUUACAUUGCUUUAAUUAGCACCAACUCAACACAUCACCUUAAUUCCUUUCCUUGCUAUUCCCGUCCGAUGUUGGCAUCUUGCCAUUUCCGACCUCGUCGCCGGCUUCCACCUCGCUAAUCUUGCUAUGGCCCGGCGUGGCUUCUAACCACAUCAUUGCCGUCAACCUCGCUACGGGCCCACUUGCCGCCGGCGUCGCUUCUAACCACAUAAUAGCCAUCGACUUUGCCGUGCCCCCACUUGCCGUCGGUGUCACUUUUAACCACAUCAUCGUCGUCGACCUUGCCGUGCCCCCACUUGCCGUCGGCAUCGUUUCUAACCACAUCAUCACCGUCUACCUCUCCAACCACUCCGACACUGUACCUUGGAAUAUCUAUGACAUUCUGACUCCGCAUGCAUACCUUCUUUGGCACCCAUAAGCUAUGGUUUUUUUCUCUAUUUCAUUUUUCUUGGUCUAUAUUUUUUUAAUUUUUCUCUAUUAUAUUAAGAAUUUUUUUAAACUAGUUUUGCAUAUAGUUUUUUAGGAAUUAAUUAAAAAAUCUCUCUAAAAAAACAAUUUCAGAGAAGAACUACCAAAUUUAUUUAAUUAAAUUUCUCAUUUUUUUUUGGUUGUUGUUGUAGAAGCACUUUGCGCCAUUUUACAGUUCACUUAAGAAUAAUAAUCCACACUAGCUUAAUUAACUUUCAUCUUAGUAUACUGACAUGGAGAGAUCUAGAUUAAAUAAUGACAACGUAGAUUCGCAAAUGAGAAUCUACUUAUCCUUUGUAGCAAAACUGUUUAAUUCAUGGUACAUUGGAAUAUCUACAACUUUCCGACUCCGCAUACCUUCUUUGGCACCCAUAAACUAUGAUUUUUUUCUCUAUUUCAUUUUCCUUGCUCUAUGUUUUUUAAUUUUUCUCUAUUAUAUUAAAAAAAAUUUUAAACUAGUUUUGCAUAUAGUUUUUUAGGAAUUAAUUAAAAUUUGGUGUUAGGUUCCUUCCAUAAAAAUUAAUUUUUUACAUAAGUAAGUGAAUGGUUCCUAUUAUUAAGGAAUUGAAUAUUUGAGGAUUUCCUAUGAAACUCAGAUUUUACUAAGGUAUAUAUAUAAGGAAUUUUUUUUGCAUGGAUAAUAUUGUAAAAGCAUGUAUGCGUAUAUAUUUAUGGUUUAUAGAAGUAAAGCUCAUAACUGAAUAGUAAACCAAAUAUUUCAUAUAACAGUGUGGAUUAAGGAUGUCAACGGGUCGGGUUUGGGUCGGGUUUUUAAAAACCCGAAUCCGAACCCGAAAACCAAAUUAAAACCCAUACCCGGACAUGAACCCAACAGGUUUUAAAAAUUCAUAACCAUAUCCGUACUAUUAUUAGUUAAGUUUAUUAUUAUUAGUUAAGUUUAUUUUUUAAAAAAGAACAAAAUAAGUAGCAUACUAUUUUUCUCUGAAAGCAAAAAUAAAAAAGUUGUAUAAACCGUAAAACCCAGCAUAGUGUUAAGUGAAUUUUAGCUUAAGAAAAUUUCAUCGGAAGUAUUUUAAAAAAUAAAACAAAAUGACAACAAUUUCUUUUGAGAACCACUAACUAAAAGAAUAUUGCUAGAUUCUUUUGCCUCUUCCUGGAUGAUAGGAAGCCAUUGCCAAUAAACAAAGAUUUCAAUUAGAAUUAUACAAACAAUUCAUUUCCUUUUGUUGUACACCUCCCAUCUCCUCAUACAUCAUUAAGUAUAAGAUAUUUUUCCUUUUCCAUUAAUCAAAGCCUCUACUUUAGACCUAAUUUAAUUCUAGCCAAGCCAAAAUCCAAUAUCUUCGGGUUCAUUUCUCUUUAAGUGGAUGACCUUAAACCUAGAAUAAUUAUGAAGAUAGAUGAGCCAUUUUGCAAGUCCUUCUACAAUGUAAAAGCUCUUUUGUCAAUCUAAUUAUGCUUUUUUGAUUAAAUUUGCAACUAGAAUAAUUCCUUAAGUAGAAUAUAUAUAUAUAUAUAUAUAUAUAUAUGUCAACUGAAUAUGGCCUUACUUAAGGGACUUGAAAUGCAAUUAAAUAUAUAGAAAUUCAAGCUUUUGUUGGGCAUGUAUUCACAUAUCAAUAUUUUCUCUUCUUUUUGGAUGCAGUAACCAAGGAGCUUGACUAGAUUCCUGUGCUGGAGCUUGGCGAUAAGUGUGAUCUCAUUUUCAAGCACUUCGAGCCCUUGUCCUGAACUACUCAACAACCUCUUUACCACAAUUGAGCCACUAGACCUUCAAGAAAUCCUAAAUUGCCGGUAAGCAAAUAUUAGCAAAUUAGCAUGCUAUGAAAUUUGAGUUCUAUUACAACAAUGCUAGUUCAAAAGUCUUCCAAUUAUUGUCUUCAAUUGGCUAAUUUUAGUCAAUAAGAGUUAUUUAAGUCCAUCACUGCCAUGCAAAUAUAAACUAGGAAUCAGCUAUAAGAGUUAUAGCUGAAGGAAAAUUAGUAUAGAUUCUGAAAAUGAAAACUUCUGUCAAUCGCAUGAUAAGGAGUCCAAAAAAAAUAAAAAAAGAAAAUGAAAAGUUCUUGCUUGAAUUUUUCUUUAGCUCUUAAGCCCUAGGCCACACAAAAAGAUCUUGCACUUCAUCAACACCAGCUUGGAGACCAUAAAGGUUCCCAAAUUAAAAUGAAAACCUGAUGUCAUUCAGAUAUGUUGAAGCAUAAGCAUUGCAUGAACAAUUCUUAGUACACUAGGCUUUUAUUGAUACAUAGACUCAAGUUUUGAUCCUUGGAGGAGGAAAUAGAGAACUUUACAUUCCUUAGCUUUAAGAAUCCAUCCCUAUUACUCAUGCAUUCUGAUUGUACUUUUCUUAUGCACCCAUUUAAUGAUCCUCUAACUAGAUUUAUUAAGGCUAACACUUAGUUUUUGUCAUUUCCUACAGUAUUAGGCAUUAAUCCCAUGGAUAAGACUUGGAUCAAUGAACCAAGGUUUGCUUGAGCCACUAUGUAUUUAUUCAAUAGUAGUAAAUGCAUAAUUUGAACAUAUCAAUUAACUUUCAUUUGAAAAAUAUAGGGCAAGUGAAAAAUAUCUAUAUGGAGUUACAAAGUUUCUUGAUUUUGCUUUUCUCAAAGCAUCUCGAGAGGGGUUAAUCCUUUGCCCCUGUAAUAAUUGCAAUAAUCACCUUUGGAAAGAUAGAGAGGCUAUUCUUGAACAUUUAAUUUGUGAUGGUUUUUCAAAGAAUUAUACAUACUGGAUUUAUCAUGGAGAAGAUAUUACUUCAUCUUCCUCUACACAUCAUUAUGACAAAACGGAACCACUGGACAACGUACAUGCAAUGUUGAAUGAAGCUUUUGGUAAUAUUCACGAAAUUGAUGAAGAAAUAGCACCAAAAGAUGAUGAUUGCCACGAAAAUCCUAAUGAAGAGGCAAAGAAAUUUUACAAAUUACUUGAAGAUUCAGAGCAAGAGUUAUACCCUGGUUGUAAGAGGUUCUCAAAACUCGCUUUCAUUAUUCGAUUGUUUCACAUAAAGUGUCUUAAUGGAUGGAGCAAUAGUUCAUUCACAAUGUUACUUACUUUACUCAAAGAGGCACUUCCUGAGGGUGAAACACUCCCAAGUUCCUUUUAUGAAGUCAAAAAAAUCAUUAACAACUUAGGGUUAGGGUAUACAAAAAUUGAUGCUUGCCCAAAUGACUGUCAACUAUAUUAUAAGGAGACUGCUAAUUCAGACUCAUGUGCUAUUUGUGGUACUUCACGAUGGAAAUCGACUGAAAAUGAUGUAGAAAGUAAUGCAUCGGCUAUUACUAAGAAAAAGGUCAAAAAAAUUUCAGCCAAAGUUUUACGCCAUUUUCCUUUAAAACCAAGACUACAAAGGUUGUUCAAGUCAUCAAAAACAUCAUCACUAAUGAGAUGGCAUCAAGAGCAUCGAACAAAUGAUGGAGUUAUGAGGCAUCCUGCUGAUUCUCCCGCAUGGAAAACAUUUGAUUUUGAACAUAAAGAGUUUUCUUCUGAACUUAGAAAUGUUAGACUUGGCUUGGCAAGCGAUGGUUUCAAUCCUUUCCGAACAAUGAGCACAACGCAUAGUACAUGGCCUGUUAUUUUGAUACCAUAUAAUCUACCGCCUUGGAUGUGCAUGAAGCAAUCAUAUUUAAUAUUGUCGUUGCUUAUUCCCGGUCCAAAUGCACCUGGAAAUGAUAUUGAUGUAUAUUUACAACCUUUAAUUGAUGAACUGAAUGAUCUUUGGCUAAAUGCAUUGCAAACUUAUGAUGCUUCAAAGAAGCAAAACUUUCAGUUGCAUGCUGCAUUACUAUGGACUAUAAGUGAUUUUCCUGGAUAUGCUAACUUAUCGGGAUGGAGUACUAAAGGCCGUUUGGCAUGCCCUUCAUGUAAUGUAAACACAGACUCACGCUAUUUGAAGCAUGGUCGAAAGUUUUGCUAUAUGGGUCAUCGUCGAUUUUUAGAACGAAAUCACAAAUUUCGACGUGAUAGAAUAUCUUCUGACGGAAACCCAGAGGUUAGAGAUGCGCCACUUCCAUUAUCUAGUUCUCAGAUAGUGGAUCAGCUAAAAAAUGUCCAAAAUGAAUUUGGUAAGUCAAACCAUAGUUGUAAAGGUAAGAAGAAACAAGGACGAGAUAUUAUGUCACACAAUUGGAAGAAAAAGAGUAUAUUCUUCUCUUUACCAUAUUGGGAAAAACUUCUUAUACGUCAUAAUUUAGAUGUGAUGCACAUUGAGAAGAAUGUAAAUGAUAAUGUGCUUUGGACAUUAUUAAAUGCAGAUGGUAAAACAAAGGAUAAUAUAAAGUCUCGUCUUGAUAUGCAGCUUAUGGGCAUUAGAGAGUCACUGCAUUUGAGGCAAAAUGGAAGCAAAACUAUAGUUCCUUUAGCAUGCUUUGCACUUUCUAGAGAAGAAAAAAGUAUCUUUUUGAAGUUAUUGAAGUCUAUCAAAGUUCCUGAUGGGUAUGCUGCAAAUAUUUCGAGAUGCGUGCAUUUAAAGGACCGUAAGAUUAUUAUAGGAUUGAAAAGUCAUGACAAUCACAUAUUGAUGCAACAACUACUUCAUUUUGCUCUUCGGAGUGUUUUACCAAAAAAUGUAAGUUGUGCACUCAUGGAAUUAAGUGGUUUCUUCAUAGAUCUAUGUUCUAAAUCUCUUAAAGGGAAGGAACUUCAAAUAUUAGACUCUCGUAUAGUCUUAACACUUUGUAAAUUAGAAAGGAUCUUCCCACCAGCAUUUUUUGAUAUUAUGGUUCAUUUGCCUAUACAUCUUGCAUACGAGGCUAGGAUAGCCGGAUCGGUGCAAUAUCGAUGGAUGUAUCCAAUUGAAAGGUAAUUAAAUAUUUUGAAAUAGCUUAUAUGGUUCGUGUGUGAGUCUAUUAAAGCUCAACUAUACAUACAAACAUACAUACAUACAUACAUAUGUAUGAUGUAUGUAUAUAUAUGUGUGUAUGUACAUAUACAUAUUACCAUCUUAAUUAUAGUAUCUUACACUUAAUAAACUUAUAGGUUCUUUUUUACCUUGAAAUCCUAUGUGCGCAACCGAAGUCACCCUGAAGGUUCAAUUGCGGAAGGGUACUUAGCUGAAGAAAGUUUAGCCUUUUGUUCACAAUAUUUUCAAGGUGUUGAGACGAGGUUCUGUCACGCCCCGGGGUCCCUUUUCAGUUUAAAACAAAGCGGAAAGCGACUGAAAUUUUUUUUUUUUUUUUGAAAACCUGACCCCAGGGUAUGCCAGAUCCGCCACAAAUACAGGGAAUCCACUGUUCACACGGACAGAGUCUCCCCUAUAUUUGCACGGCGUCGAUCAAAUACACAGUACAACCAGGANGAAAACUAAAAAUCGCGUAUCUUCUCCAUUUUAGCUCAUUUUCGUCCGAAACUUGACGAGUGCUUAUGUAAUUAAAUUACACACAUAAACAUCAUCAACAGAGAGUUUAGUUGCACUGUCAAAAAAUCUCAGUCCUUACAGGUUCAAUCGACCACGAAGAAAUUACGAAGGUGAAUUUGAACUUGAAAAACAUCCGUUAUUUCCUUUGUCUCCAAAUGGUCGAGCUGUAGGACAUAGCGAGAUGUUUGAUCUGGACGAAACUUCAUGGCUACAAGCACAUCGCUAUAUUCUAUUUAAUUGCGACAUUGUUUCUCCAUACCUUCAGUAAGAUGAGUUACAACUCAAAUUAAUCCAUAGUUUUUCUAUACCAAUGGCAUUAAAUAUUGGACCCUAAUUUUGAUAUAAUUGUAUUUACUUGUAGAAAACAUGUUGAAGGAAUUAAAGGUAGAAAGCGUCGAAUGCGACAAAUGGAGGUUGAGCGUGUCCAUAGUAGUUCAUUUCAUGAAUGGUUUAGAGAACAUGUAGGUCAACAAUCCUUAUACUAGUUAAGCAUAUUUAUUUAUUUAUUUUUGGCUUAGACGCGAAUAGAAUAUUUACUAAACUUUUGAGAUGUUUUUUUUGUGAACUAGAUUUACAAAUUACUUGAAGCAAGGAGUGAUGUAGUUUCAGAAGAAAUCAUCUCAUUGGCCCGUGGUCCUCAAAAAGCUGCAAAGAGAUUUAAGGGCUACAUAAUUAAUGGGUUUAGAUUCCACACUAAAGAACGUGAAACAAAUAGAAAAAUCCAAAAUAGUGGAGUUGUUAUCAUUGCUAGUACAUCAAGUUAUGCUAGUGCUAAAGAUAAGAAGCCAAUGACAGGAGAUGUCACAUAUUAUGGUAUCCUCACGGACAUUAUAGAAUUGAACUACUAUGAGCAUUUUAAAGUGGUGUUGUUUAAAUGUGAUUGGGCAAAUGUACACUCACAAGGCAAAGGAGUGAAGAAAGAUGAUUACGGGUUCACACUUUUAAACUUUAGUCGACUAUUAUUUAAUGGAAAUCAAUUAUCUGACGAACCUUUCAUAUUAGCAAGUCAAGCGAAGCAAGUUUUCGAUGUACAAGAUCCUAUCGAAAAGGAAUGGCGGAUUGUUGUUCAUACAAAACCAAGGGACUUUUUUGAUAUGGAAGCAGAUGUUCUUACAGAUGACAUAGAGUUUCAAGUGGAUAAUGACACCCCGAAAAAUAUCAUGAAUGAGAUAGAAGAAGAAUUCAGUUGGAAUAGAAAUGAUGUCCCUGAACUUACAAUUGACACACCUAUAAUCAACACUUUUGAUUUUCAAGAAAACACUCACGAAGAUGCACAGUUCGAGGAAGAUAAUAAUUAAAUUGACUCUACAAGUGUAGGUAUAUAUUGAUUUUUCAUUUAAUAAUCUAUUCUAUUAGUUUAUAUUAUUUUACUAUUUAUUAAUAUAUGUUGUUUUUAUUUGCAAAUCAUAAAUCUUUAUCUGUACAAACUGAUAUAGCUAAUCUUGAUUUCUUAUAUGCAGGUGUCAACUAUGAGAAACAAAAAGGGUAAAGAGAAGAUUUCAACAGAAUCAUGUUUUGACCAAAAAGAGUACGAUGAGAUGCUGCUAGAUCGGGAUAACCAAAUACAUCAUUCUUGGUUGAACCAAUCUCUUUCUUUUAACCCUCAAAAUCAUAUCCAACCAUCACUUGAACAUGAACUUCAUCGCUACCUAUCUCAACUAGUUGGUAAUUUGCACCAAGAUGAGCAAUCAUUGCCUAAACAAAUCCAAGUAGAGAAAAGUCAUGAUUUUGCAAGAUCACAAUCUGAACAAGUAGAGUUGCAACCAGCAAAUGAAUGCUCACUACAACCUGAAAUUAUCAAGUUAUUUCAAAGCUUCCAACAACAUCAAGUGACUCAGAAUUUGCUUGAAAACAUGCAAGUUGAAAAUUUUCAACCUGAAAGAGGCCCUUCUUAUCAUGACCAUUCUAGACAUUGUGAUUCCUUACAAAAUCCAAACAAUUUUGAAGACUCUGAAGAAGAUGAUGAUAUAUGCAAUAGUAAGCCACUCUCCCAAUAUUUUUUAAAUUUUAAAUCUACAGCACUCUCAAAUCCAUUAUAUUACUUCCAAUUGAAUUGAGUUAUAGUCUCUUUUAGUUUACUCUAUUUUUGUAUAAGAUGCAUCUUGUCACGCCCCGGGACCGAUACCAAUUUGGCCCGACCCGAGCACAUCAAACAGACGCCGAACGGACAGAGUUUCCCCUAUCCGUCCAAGGCUCAUCACAUGUACAUUUUCAUCAAUAGAGAAAAGCACUAGCGGAAACAUACAUAAACGGCUUACACGAGGGUAAGCAAUAGCCAUUAGUGAAAGAAAGGAAGACUAGACAUUCGCUUGUACUAUGAUUCAAUUUAGAUCAUAUACAUACAUUCAACUUGUAAUUUUUUUGAAUUCCUUACAUUUCGUUUCAUCAUUUCUUUCUUACAUCACAUUUACCUCAAAAUACACAUUACAUUCUUUUCCUUGCUUUAUACAUUAACAUCUAGUAUGAACGAUACUCAAGGCACGAGCUCCCGCCAGCGAGGGGGAGCCCGCUACGCGAGGCCUCAAUACGUAGUGCCCAACCUCAUUUGGGCUUCCUGCCAGGAUCGCCCACUCAAGGACGCUACUACCUGAAUUACACUUCGUUCAAUUACACCGCUAUGGGGGCCCAAUCGGAACUCUAAUUUCUUGUUUCUCGUUUCUUGUUUCACGUUUCCUGUUCUUGUUUCUCAUUUCACUUUUCUUAUUUCUUAAACGUAUUAGACGUAUACAAUUACAACUCGUAUAAGGAACGAAUAACAAGUCCGUAUAAUCGUAGUACAACAUCUUACCAAUGAUAUAAAGUCGAAUAGGAAAGAUAAUACGGACUCAAUCGGGAUCACCCUUUCAACCCUACAACUCCGGCUUGGGUGACCCUUGAAACAACAUCAAGAGUGGGGUGAUAAAGGUGUCUCGGCCCUGGCUCGCUCGGCCGCUCGCUGGCUCCAUUUCCAUAGCGCGGAAUCAGUCUCCGGUGGUUUCAACCCAAAGUAAAACAUCAUUUCAUGGGAUACAAGUAGAAAACAUAAACUACUAAGUCUNGGACCGGUCUCUCCCACCAGGGACCGAUCCCCGAGAGCUCAAAAUCUGCAGUUUUGCAGAUUUUAUUCUAUAGCUCUCGAAAACCUCCCGUAACUCACUUUUACUCAUUUUAACACCUUCGGACUUUCCGAAGUGUACCAUCCUCGCACUUUGGUCAAUUUGACUAAAGUUCGAUAUUUAUUUCCCGAAUUUUCGGUAUAUUACACAUCUAAACUUAUGUAUAGGUAGCAACAAACAAAAUUUUCUUUUUUAUAUUAAUAGAAGCAUGUGAUAGGAUUUCGAAGUAGAAUUUUGAAAUAAGAUAUAUUUGGAUAGAUUAGAAUGUUAUUUUUUUACUUGUAUAUAGCAAUAAAAAUUUACAUUUUGUUAUUGAUAGAAAGUGAAUAACUAUUUUGAUUUGUUGGACAGAGUCUUCUCAUGCAUCACAAAAGACUCCAGGCCGUACAAAGUUGCUCAAAUUAUUUAAAAGGACUUCUCCGAAACCUAUAAAACUUAAUGAGUUUGGGCAACCUAUUGGAAAAGUAGCAGCCACAUUAAGUAACUUUUUGGGGCUAAUGGCAAGAAAUGGACAAAUAAUUCCUCUAAGUUAUAAAGAUUGGAGAGUUGUUCCAAAUUCAACUAAGGAUAUUAUGUGGAUGAUUGUACAGGUGUAGGAAAUUUGCUUUUUUUUUUCUUUGCAGGCCAUAUUUUUCAUAUGAUGUUUUAUUGAUAUUUCUUUUCUCUUUGUCUAGAAAAAAUUUCAAAUUUCAGAAGAAGGAAGAGAUUGGGUUAUUAUGUCCAUAGGAAAAGAAUGGAGGGAGUUCAAAAGCAAACUAAAAAAACUUCACUAUGAUACUCAUAAAACUUACGAGGAAAAGAUAGCAGCUUGUGAUUCUCGAGUACACGCGAAAGAAUGGGAAUUUCUUGUUAAGCACUGGGACUCUCAAGUAGGACAGGUAUGAAUGUUACUUUUUAACUUGAUUUUGAUAGUUUGGGGUCAGCGAAUAACUUUAUUUAUUAGACAUCGAAAAAUUGAUCUUUACUAUUUUGUAUGUAAUUGAUUUUUUCUGUUGCUAUAAAUAGCUCUACACAAGCUUUGCAUUAAAUUUUAGAUAGUAUUCAAUGAAAUAUUAUUCUAAUUACUUCUUUGAGCACAUGUACAUUUAUUCUAAUAGGAACGUAGUGCCAAAAAUAAAGCUAGCCGUGCAAUGCUAAAAACCACACAUACAGCAGGCACAAAAAGCUUCGCAAGAGUUCGUGCUGAGGUAAACUUAAUCCUCUCAAUUAUAGUCUUUUCAUUACUAACACUUUUAUAGAUUUUUGAUUGUUAUUGAAAGUUUAAUUUCUAAAUAUUGUUAGAUGGCAAAGAAAAAUAAUCAUAUUCAACCGAGAAGACAUGAGCUCUACAUAAGAACGCACACCAAGAAGAAUGGCAAGCCUUUAAAUGCGUAUUGCUCGAAAAUCAUGGUAUGUCUUUAGAUUUGGACAAAUUUUAGUUAUAAAAGUUGUUUGAAUUAGUCAAGUAUAAUUUCUUACUUUUUAUAGUAAAAUAUUGGAGAUUUAGUUCCAUUAUAUCCUGAAGUUGCACAAAGAGAUCCAUCUCGAAAUGACCUUUUAUCGCUGCUACUUAAAGAGAAAAGUACUCAACUUCAUUGUCAUGGAUUGGGUCCUAUUCCAGAUGAACUUCGAAAAUCAAAGACAACUCGUGCUGAUAAUAUUCGAAUGCUUUCUGAGACCAAAAAAGAAGCCGAGGAGGAGAAACGUGUAAUGCAAUCAGAAUUAGUAGAUAUGAGACAAAAAUAUGAAGAUAUACACAAGGAAAUGAUGACAAUGAAGGCAUGGGUAGAAUCAAUAGGUAAAAGGCCUCAAGACCAUUUCAUACUAGGAGAAGGAAUAUCAUGCGUUCCACAAGGCCUCAAACUAGUAAGCAUAAUUUAUAAAUAAUUUUAUCUUUUUUGAUGUAUAUGAAAAACUAAUAUAUCAUCUAACUUUUUUUUCUCCAAUUUAGAAAUGCACUGAUCUUCCUUAUAAUGGAUCACCUAAUAAUCAGGCAACCUCUUCUCAUUCUAGUUAUGAAGCACCACCAACUCAGGUAUUUUAUCAUCUCAAAUGGCUUUUCUUGAGUAAUCUUGCUAAAACUCAAAAUUUUCAACCAAAAUUAAUUAGUUAGUUUUAAUAUUUUGCUAACCAAUUUUAGAUGACAAGAAGAUUAUUAAUUGCUAUUGCCUAUUUUGUUAGUUAAUUUAAUUUCUAUUUUUAACAAAGUGACAUCGCUAGUUAUUUUGUUUCUCUCUUUUUAAAGGCAUAAACUAAUCUUAGAAUCUGAAAAUUGUUAAUUCUAAUUAUAUCGUAGGUGUAUCGAGCUAAGAAUAUCUCAAAGAGAGUCCACGCUGUAUCAAAUAUUAUGGUUAUCUUCUAUCUCUUAUUCUUUUUAUGUUAUCAUGAUGAUUUUUUUCUCUACAACAUAUAUAAGUUUAAAUUACUAUAUUUGUUUAUUCACUUAUUGUUAGAUUGGAACUGAAGUUUACUUGAGGAGUUUAUAAAAACCUCACAAUCAUGUAGCACAAGGUUAUCUUUUGAGUAAAGAUCCAACUACAAGAGUAGGUGGGUUCGAAUUAGGACCACAGUGUUGGGAGAUUCAAAUUGAUGUGCCAAUAGUACGCAAUGAACCACUACUUAGACCAUAUAGUAGCUAUCAAACAAUUGGAGAUGCUGUUGGAGCAACUGUUGCUUGGCCAUAUACUUUUGUAAGGAUGAGUUAUCUCAACCAUAUUUUAUUUUUUCAAUUAUCUUUCAUCAUCUAUAGCCUAUUAUAUAUAUAUGUUUAAUUUGCUUUUUGUUCUUUUCACAGGUUAAGUGCAAGUAGUGCAUGAUAUUGUGUUCAUCUCCGCGCAAUAUAUUUUGAACCUGUUAGAAACAAAAAGACAUGGAGCACAUUUCUUAUAAUUUUGUGAUGAUCACUUUUAUAUGUUACUACUUAUAGUGCAGAACAUGUAUUUAACAAAUAUAAUCUUGGAAUAUUUUGGCAUAUUAGAUGUAUAAUCUUGAGAUAUUUUGGCAUGAUGUUGUGUUCAUCUCCGCACUAUACAUUUUGUAUCUGUUGGAAUCGAAAAGCUGUGGAGCAUAUUUCUUAUAAUUUUGUCAUGAUCAGUUUAUAUGUUACUACUUAUAUAUUGAAGAAUAUGUAGGUUAAAUAUGCAAUUUAUGAUAUUUUUGGUUGAAUUGCACUUUUAUAUAUUGUAACUUUUAUUGAUCUUGUAAUUUUAUAUGCAUAAAUAGUUUAUUAUUGAAUGACAAUUAGCUAAAAUAUUAUUUAUAAUUUUUUAAUGCAUUAUCUAUUAUUCAAUAUUUAAAAAUUAGUAUAAUAUUUAGUGAUAUUUGAAUUUAGAUGUUGGAUAUUAAAUUAUAAAUAGCAAUAUUUAGUAAUGUUGGGAAUAGUUGCUUUAUACUAACAUUAGCAACAUUUAGUAAUGUUGGGAAUGGUUAAAUUAUACCAANNNNNNNNNNNNNNNNNNNNNNNNNAUUUUUGAGCCCUAACAUGCAAUUACCUCCAAAUAAUCCAAAUUAAAUAGAGCAACAUGCUAAGAAUGCUCAUUAUAGGCUAUUAGAACACUUAAAGCUAAGGAUUAAGCCAAAUUCCAAAAGCUUACCACAAUGUGAACGCCGCGACGAAAGCACACCGCUCCAACGGGCGCACGAAAGGUCGAUCCGUCGCUCCCAACGCGUUCGCAAGCUCGUUCUCCGCCAACGCCGCGAAUUUGGGCGAAAGAUCUAGAGAGAUGAGAGAGUUAUUUAGAGAGAGAAAGUGAGGAUUUUCUCUCACUACCACCAUGAACGUGAGCUUGGGGGUGGUCGGCUGAUGUGAAGAAGAGAAGAAGCUAAUUAGCUUCAAUUUAUAGUCAACACUCCAAUAGGAGCAUACACUAUUCACUCCAUGGGGGCUUACAACUGAUGUUUUUUUGCCGGAGCCCUUUUGAAUUUCCGUUUGAGCUCAAACUUGACAGGCAGGCUUGGUUUCACAUAACGAGUCCCAAGAAAUUUUAACAUUUCAGUUUUGACCCUGUUUGGUCACUGGAAACUGUACCGAACUGAAAUCUUUAUCAGAUAACAAUUCGAUUUUAUUCUCCACCUUUCGGGUGUCAGAAUGGGCUGAAACUUUAAAUCUAGCCUCAUAAAAAUAAUUCUGACUGAUCCAUCAACUUUUCAUAAUUUUCUGACACUUUACAUUUUCUGCUAAUUUUUCUGUCCCGUUUCACACAGAAAAUUCUAAAUCUUUUGUUUUCAUUCCGAUUUCAGCACAAGUCAUUCUAGACUUAUAUUUUAUUUUUCGAAACCCAAUAAAAAUAGUAUCCCACACUAUUUUUAUUUACUUUUAUUUUUAUACCAAAAUCUGGUAUAUUACAUUCUCCACCCCUUAAAAAGACUUUCGUCCGCGAAACUCAAAUCACACCUCAAUUCAGCUCCUCAAGCAAUUGAGGGCACCAAUACACUUUUUCUCUUCGGAAUGACUUUACACUCCUUGGAACUAUCCAAGAGGACUACCACGGAGUUCAUGAUACUAAAUGCAUCCAAAUUUGCAAGGCACAUCUCACAAAGUGCAUUAAGGUAUCCAUCAUUCUUGGUGGCGGCGCAAGUCGAAACUCAACGACUCCACGCGCUCCAAUACCAUUUGUCACUUAGCAUGCAAGAACUCUUCUUCGCAUUUACUUUUCCUUCAGGGAAUACACUCCGAUUCUAUCUCCAACAUUGCUUAAAAGCAACAUUACUAGUGCAUCGCUUCACCGCGAGUGCUCUAAUUCCGCACCGAUCUUUAGCUCUAACAUGAGAUGGCCCACCUCGGCACAUCCCAAAUCCAAUCCUCAAACUCCACGUGGCUUCUCACAAUCUCAAGGUCUCACCACGAGCACUUCAUCUUCUGAUACCAUGUGCCACGGCCAACGUCUUAUCGAGUCAAUCCUUUAUGCUUACCCUUAAGAGGGAUAGCACUUGAUACAGGCUCUAUAUCUUGGACGACGACUGCUGCAGUACCGUCCAUACUCGAUAAUUACGUCAAUACACAAAGACGUAUUACAUUUCAACCACGUAACGUACGUAACUCGUACAUUAAUUAAUGAUGAUAAAUACAUCAUCGUAUCAUCCCAGCUUCACUCGCCUAUUUACAUUUAUGGGCCCUUGCGAAUACAACACUUCCGUAUCGUGGACGGCCACGUCCAUCUCUUGAUCUACCGUGAUCGCUCAGCGAUCACUACUAGAUUACUACUCUGAACAUCAUCUCCACCUUUACUACUUGGUUGAGCGUCUCGUUACAUACAUUAACUAACGCUCUCAACACAGUACUGUGAACACCUGCGAGCUUGCUAAGCUCACAAGAUCUACAACGAAGCCAUCUCGCUAACCGACGGUUUAUGCCCGCGCAACCGGAUCAUCAUGGAGCUUAACUCCACCCACUCAACACGAGCACACCGGCCACACGUAUCCGUUUCAACGGACUACGAACUGUAUCAACCUUGCGAUAUCUCCGCUCAUCUCGCGAGCUCAUAUCAAAGAGUACCUCACGCCUACAUUAAGUCGGUUCACUCUCACAACCGUCAUCGUGGAUUCGUAACGAUCCACACUUCGUACGGUACCUAAUGAGCACCCCGACCACCGAGCGUGAACCACGUAUCCUCGACUAUCACCAUGCAUAACGAGUUAUCCCGCACAUCACGCUACCUAUCAUAUAGCUCUCACGCUAAUACUGGGUUGGGCUCCUAAACAUUGCCAAACCCUAAAAUCAACGAGGACCAACCUCACACACGCUUAAGGGGUCACUCUUAAAGCGGGGUUGCUACUAACCCAGAUGCGAACGCUCGUUCUCUGCAGCUCAUAACUCUGCCCAAAUCCGAUAGCGGAUGCAUCAUAUCCACCGGAAACCGAGUGGACACCUUUCAGCUCCUUCCACUAAACCGUUCAUCGGAAUAGCCCCUCAAACUGAACUCAAGUGCUUACUGCACAAGUACACUCGAGAAACGCUUUCAUNNNNNNNNNNNNNNNNNNNNNNNNNNNNNNNNNNNNNNNNNNNNNNNNNNNNNNNNNNNNNNNNNNNNNNNNNNNNNNNNNNNNNNNNNNNNNNNNNNNNNNNNNNNNNNNNNNNNNNNNNNNNNNNNNNNNNNNNNNNNNNNNNNNNNNNNNNNNNNNNNNNNNNNNNNNNNNNNNNNNNNNNNNNNNNNNNNNNNNNNNNNNNNNNNNNNNNNNNNNNNNNNNNNNNNNNNNNNNNNNNNNNNNNNNNNNNNNNNNNNNNNNNNNNNNNNNNNNNNNNNNNNNNNNNNNNNNNNNNNNNNNNNNNNNNNNNNNNNNNNNNNNNNNNNNNNNNNNNNNNNNNNNNNNNNNNNNNNNNNNNNNNNNNNNNNNNNNNNNNNNNNNNNNNNNNNNNNNNNNNNNNNNNNNNNNNNNNNNNNNNNNNNNNNNNNNNNNNNNNNNNNNNNNNNNNNNNNNNNNNNNNNNNNNNNNNNNNNNNNNNNNNNNNNNNNNNNNNNNNNNNNNNNNNNNNNNNNNNNNNNNNNNNNNNNNNNNNNNNNNNNNNNNNNNNNNNNNNNNNNNNNNNNNNNNNNNNNNNNNNNNNNNNNNNNNNNNNNNNNNNNNNNNNNNNNNNNNNNNNNNNNNNNNNNNNNNNNNNNNNNNNNNNNNNNNNNNNNNNNNNNNNNNNNNNNNNNNNNNNNNNNNNNNNNNNNNNNNNNNNNNNNNNNNNNNNNNNNNNNNNNNNNNNNNNNNNNNNNNNNNNNNNNNNNNNNNNNNNNNNNNNNNNNNNNNNNNNNNNNNNNNNNNNNNNNNNNNNNNNNNNNNNNNNNNNNNNNNNNNNNNNNNNNNNNNNNNNNNNNNNNNNNNNNNNNNNNNNNNNNNNNNNNNNNNNNNNNNNNNNNNNNNNNNNNNNNNNNNNNNNNNNNNNNNNNNNNNNNNNNNNNNNNNNNNNNNNNNNNNNNNNNNNNNNNNNNNNNNNNNNNNNNNNNNNNNNNNNNNNNNNNNNNNNNNNNNNNNNNNNNNNNNNNNNNNNNNNNNNNNNNNNNNNNNNNNNNNNNNNNNNNNNNNNNNNNNNNNNNNNNNNNNNNNNNNNNNNNNNNNNNNNNNNNNNNNNNNNNNNNNNNNNNNNNNNNNNNNNNNNNNNNNNNNNNNNNNNNNNNNNNNNNNNNNNNNNNNNNNNNNNNNNNNNNNNNNNNNNNNNNNNNNNNNNNNNNNNNNNNNNNNNNNNNNNNNNNNNNNNNNNNNNNNNNNNNNNNNNNNNNNNNNNNNNNNNNNNNNNNNNNNNNNNNNNNNNNNNNNNNNNNNNNNNNNNNNNNNNNNNNNNNNNNNNNNNNNNNNNNNNNNNNNNNNNNNNNNNNNNNNNNNNNNNNNNNNNNNNNNNNNNNNNNNNNNNNNNNNNNNNNNNNNNNNNNNNNNNNNNNNNNNNNNNNNNNNNNNNNNNNNNNNNNNNNNNNNNNNNNNNNNNNNNNNNNNNNNNNNNNNNNNNNNNNNNNNNNNNNNNNNNNNNNNNNNNNNNNNNNNNNNNNNNNNNNNNNNNNNNNNNNNNNNNNNNNNNNNNNNNNNNNNNNNNNNNNNNNNNNNNNNNNNNNUCUCACCGUCGCACUACAAGAGCGUCCGCUUCGCCGUUUCAAGUGCAGUAUCUUUUCGCCAUGCUACCACGGUGCCUCAAAUCCAUUUCCACAAUUUUACGACGCUGCCUUGGCCCUCCCGGCGGACCCGAAGCCUAAACGUCUGUUUCUUUAAUAACUUCGUAACGGCUCGUCGGAUUGCCGAACCGUCUUCGCCAACGCGUUUCGUUACCUAACAAUUUGGUUUACGGAGGGUCAAAUUAGAUCAAACCCUCACAUAUUGCAAAAUCCCAUUUUUGAGCCCUAACAUGCAAUUACCUCCAAAUAAUCCAAAUUAAAUGGAGCAACAUGCUAAGAAUGCUCAUUAUAGGCUAUUAGAACACUUAAAGCUAAGGAUUAAGCCAAAUUCCAAAAGCUUACCACAAUGUGAACGCCGCGACGAAAGCACACCGCUCCAACGGGCGCACGAAAGGUCGAUCCGUCGCUCCCAACGCGUUCGCAAGCUCGUUCUCCGCCAACGCCGCGAAUUUGGGCGAAAGAUCUAGAGAGAUGAGAGAGUUAUUUAGAGAGAGAAAGUGAGGAUUUUCUCUUACUACCACCAUGAACGUGAGCUUGGGGGUGGUCGGUUGAUGUGAAGAAGAGAAGAAGCUAAUUAGCUUCAAUUUAUAGUCAACACUCCAAUAGGAGCAUACACUAUUCACUCCAGGGGGGCUUACAACUGACGUUUUUUCGCCGGAGCCCUUUUGAAUGUCCGUUUGAGCUCAAACUUGACAGGCAGGCUCGGUUUCACAUAACGAGUCCAAAGAAAUUUUAACAUUUCAGUUUCAACCCCGUUUGGUCACCGAAAACUGUACCGAACUGAAAUCUUUAUCAGAUAACAGUUCGAUUUUAUUCUCCACCUUCCGGGUGUCAGAAUGGGCUGAAACUUUAAAUCUAGCCUCAUAAAAAUAAUUCUGACUGAUCCGUCAACUUUUCAUAAUUUUCUGACACUGUGCAUUUUCUGCUAAUUUUUCUGUCCCGUUUCACACAGAAAAUUCUAAAUCUUCUGUUUGCAUUCCGAUUUCAGCACAAGUCAUUCUAUACUUAUAUUUUAUUUUUCGAAACCCAAUAAAAAUAGUAUCUCACACUAUUUUUAUUUACUUUUAUUUUUAUACCAAAAUUUGGUAUAUUACACCCUGAGACCGUCGUCAGUUUUUAAAAUUGUGUUUUUGAAAUCUUAGCCUAUCCAGAAGUCUUCUAACCCUAUAAAUAUGAUAUGAGGAGUACCAUAUGCGGCAAGCUUAGAGAGAAAAUCUUUUUGAAGCCCUAAGAGCUUGUGUUAGAGUUUUCGAUCAAUGUUUUGAAAAUCAAGUUUUUAGUUUUGAUCACCGAUUCAAUUCUUCGAUUCUAAUUUCAAUGGUUCUUUAAGGAUUAGAUCGGUGAUGAACUAAUUAGGGUUUCUCCUCAUAUCAUAUGUGCUUUCUAAGUAUUUCAAUCACCACAAAUUGUUAAUCUCAAUGAGCUUCGGAUGGAGCGAACACGCGUGGAUCGCGUGUGAGGCCGAGGAUUCAGUGGACGCAUCGAGGAGUCGAGGCGUUGACGCUGCGAGGAUUUACGGCAGGAUUGAUCGAAGGACUUUGAUCGAUUGAGGACCGGCGAAGACAAUCUACAACGAGGAUUCGGUAAAUUGAGUCGUGUAUUUUUGGUAAAUCACUUGUACUCAAGUUUUCUUAGUGGAUUUCUUUGUGUGAUCGGUCUCGUGGGUUUUUCUCUCCGGAUUGGAGUUUUCCCACGUUAAAAUCUCAUGUGUUGUUUUUAUUUUUCGCAUUCUCUUUUAAAUUGCAUCGAAUUUAUUUGUUUUUACCGUUUACACCUAUUUACCCCCCUCUAGGUGUCUUUUACCUUUAAGAUCCUUGGGAUCCAUAUCUCACAAGUGGUAUCAGAGCGGGUAUAGGUUGUAAACUAUGGCCGAGGGCGGUAACAUUAAUCGACCCCCUCUCUUCGAUGGCACUAAUUACGCUUAUUGGAAGAUUCAUAUGAGAGUGUUUCUUAUUGCCAUUGACGAGCGGGUUUGACAAUCUAUUGAAUUCGGAUGGAAACAUCCUACCGAAGUGGUCGAUAAUGUUAGCGGUCCCAAACCUAGAAAUAAAUGGACGAAAGACGAAAAUAAACUUUCUUCAUUCAACGGAAAGGUAUCAAUGCUCUAUUUACUGCUUUGAAUCAAACCGAAUUUUCUCGUGUCUCGGCGUGUGAAACCGCCAAAGAGAUUUGGGACACUUUACAAAUUACACAUGAGGGUACAAGCUUAGUAAAGAUUCAAAAAUUGCAAAUGUUGACUAGUAGAUUUUAUUCUAUUCGUAUGGAAGAACAUGAAACCUUUACUGAGUAUUAUACUCGUUUGCAAGAUAUUAUCAACACGUGCUAAUUUGGGAGAGAAAAUUUCGAACACUAAAAUUGUUAGAAAAAUUUUAAGAACCCUUCCCGAACGAUUUCGUCCUAAGGUUGCGGCCAUAGAAACGGUAAAACAUCCGGAUGAAUUAAAAGUAGAAGAAUUAGUUGGUGCACUUCAAACUUAUGAGAUGACUUUUCCUUCUAAUUCAUCUUCUUCCAAGUUGUCUUCUAAAGCUUCAGGUAUGACACUAAAAUCAACAAAAGGAGGCAACGUGGAAUCUUCUUCAUCGGAUUCGGACUCAGACGUAACCUUGGAAGAGUUUGAGAAGCAAAUGGCUCUUUUGACGAAGAAGUUCCGUCAGAACUUUAGGAAGAAGUUUCCUUCCAAGUCAACUCCCUCGAAGCAAAAUAAAUCAAAAGGGAGUACUUCUUCUUCUAAGUUUAAGAAAUCUGAAAACUUUUCAAAAGACUUUACAAAAGAAAAGAAGAAUGUUGAAGGACAAAUCCAAUGCUAUAAGUGUAGAGGUUUUGGUCAUAUAGCAUCGGAUUGUCCAAACAAAAAAUCUUUGAAAAAGAAAGCGAUGCAAGCCAUUACUUGGGAUGAUUCAUCUUCUAACGAGUCAACCUCAAGUGAUAAGGAUAUAAAUGCUACUGCUCUUCUUGCAUUCGACUCUUCUUUUUUGUGUUUAGUGUCUACUGACUCUAUAUCUUUGUCUUCUAUGCAUGAAAAAUCUUCUUCGGAGAACUCAUCGGAUGAAGAAUCAGAUGAAGAUGAUAUGGCCACCGCAUAUCACCAACUUGUUAUUGAAUCAAAGGAAGUGGCAAAACACAACAAGAAAUUGCGGCGUAGAUUGUAUGAUCUGGAUCAAGAGAAUACAAGAUUAGAGUCGUUGACAAAAAGUCUUGAGCAAGAAAAAGAGGGUUUGACUAAGGCUUACAAUUCUUUACUUGACAAGUGUGCAUUGCUUGAAAAGGAAAAGGAGUCUCAUGUUGAAAAUAUCAAUUUCCUUACCAAGCAAUACACUGAAGCUAGAGAAUCCCAUAUGGAAUUCACCAAGACGAUUAUUCAACUCAAAUCGGAUUUAAAUCAAUUCUCGUCUGGCUCUAGCAAACUUGACAAGAUGCUAGGACUUGGUCAAACCAACAAAUUCGGACUUGGAUACGAACGGACGUAUGUCGAUCAAGUGAUGAAGAAAGUGGAGGAACAUCUAACGAAACCGACACCUAUGGUUUAUUGUAAAUUUGUCUCCCCUAAGAAUUCUUUUGCUAACAAAACAUGUCAUCUUUGUGGUGUUGUAGGUCAUGUGAAAAGAUUUUGCAAAGAAAAGCUGAAAAGUACUACAACACUCAUGAAUCGGAGACCAAUGGAACAAUUGAAAAAGGAAGAUCCAAAGGCUAAUUCAAAGCAAAUAUGGAAAUGGAAGAAGGAUGAUCCCAAGAAGAGGAUAGAUCAAAUCGUCGAUAAGCAACGAACGUCACAAUCAAGUCAGCCGACGCAACCCAAAACAUGUAAGGUUUGGGUGCGUAAAGGUGAACUCUUUCCUUGCCUUGUCAUUCACACUUCACUUCAUGCUUAUGAUACCUCAUCUUGGUAUUUAGAUAGUGGUUGUUCACGACAUAUGACCAGUGAUAAAAAUUGGUUUACUUCUUUAAAUGAAAUUUUUGGAGGUUUUGUGGUCUUCGGAGAUGGUCGGUCAUCAAAAAUUGUUGGAAAAGGAACAUUCACUAUCUCUGAUGGCCCUAUUUUGAAUGAUGUUUUUUAUGUUGAAGGGCUUAAAUCAAAUCUCAUAAGCAUAAGUCAAUUGUGUGAUGACGGGUACUCUGUUACUUUUUCUGCAAAAGAAUGCACUGUGACUCUUGAUGAUGAUUCUUUCUUGAAAGGUGUUAGAUCACAAAACAAUUGUUACGUAGUUCCUAGUUCUUCAACUGAACAAUGUAACCUAGCGACAUUAGAGACUGAAACUUUAUGGCAUGAACGACUAGGUCACAUGAACUUUAAGGAACUAUCUAAGAUAACUAAGAAGGAGGUAGUUAGAGGUGUACCUAAGAUAGAAUUCAAAGAGAACAUUGUGUGUGGGGGUUGUCAAUUGGGAAAACAAAUUAGAUUCGCACAUAAGAAUUUGAACCACUUAGGGACAUCUAAACCAUUAGAGUUACUUCACAUGGACUUGAUGGGACCUUCUAGAAUUCAGAGUUUGGGUGGAAAACGAUAUAUCCUGCUUAUUGUUGAUGAUUUUACUCACUUUGUUUGGUGUGCUUUCUUGAAAAAAAAAGCUAAUACUUUUGAUUCUUUUUCUAAAAUCUAUCUUCGUCUUAUGACUGAAUGUAAUGAUAAAAUUGUACGCAUUCGAAGUGAUCAAGGGGGAGAAUUUAUAAAUUCAAAAUUUAUUGAUUUAUGUGUUUCAAAAGGUAUCAAACAUGAAUUCUCUACUCCUUAUACACUACAACAAAACGGAGUAGUUGAACGUAAAAAUCGGGUUGUUCAAGAGAUGGCACGUGUUAUGCUUCAUAGCAAGAAAGUUGCUCUACACUUCUGGGCUGAAGCAGUUAACACGGCCGUCUAUGUAAUUAACCGCAUCUAUUUACGCCUGGGUACUUUAAAUACUCCGUAUGAAUUGUGGAUUGGUAGAAAACCGAAUAUCAAAUACUUUUGUGUCUUCGGGAGUAAAUGUUUUAUCCUUCGGGAUCGUGAAAAUCUUGGAAAAUUUGACUCCCGGAGUAACGAAGGAAUCUUUCUUGGUUAUUCUACUACUAGUCGAGCGUAUCGGGCGUACAAUUUACGCACUAAGACGGUGACAGAAUCAAGUAACAUAAAAGUAGAUGAAGCUUCUUCUGUGAGUUCGUCUGUGCAUGAUUUUUCUAUUACUUUAAAUGAUGAUGAUAAUUCUCCAUUUAAUAUGCCUGUGAAUGAUGAGAUUUCUGCUCUUGAUAAAUCUACUGAAACUGUUGAAACUAGUGCAUCACAUGAUUUAUCUGAAACCCCUAGCACUUCUUCUGAACUUUCACCAGUGAAAGAUUACCCAUUGUCAAAUAUUAUUGGAGACCCUCUUACUGGUGUGAAAACUAGCAGACAACUUCAGUGUGAAUUUGCAUGUUAUGUUUCUUCAGUUGAACCAAAGAAUAUUGACGAAGCUCUUCUUGAUGAAUAUUGGAUUAAUGCUAUACAAGAAGAACUUGGUCAAUUCACGCGUAAUGAUGUCUAGGAAUUAGUGCCACGUCCUAAGCAACAACAUAUAAUUUGUACCAAAUGGAUUUUUAAAAAUAAGAAAAAUGAGGAUAGUACUAUCAUUCGAAACAAGGCUAGACUUGUUGCUCAGGGCUAUUCACAAGUUGAGGGAAUUGAUUUUGAUGAAACCUUCGCCCCGGUUGCUCGUCUUGAAUCAAUUCGUAUUUUGUUCGCAAUUGCCUGUCAUUUUCAAAUUACUCUUUUUCAAAUGGAUGUUAAAAGUGCAUUUUUAAACGGAUUUUUAAAAGAAGAAGUUUAUGUUGAACAACUAAAAGGUUUUAUAGACUCAAAAUUUUCGGAUCAUAUUUUUCGAUUGAAAAAGGCACUUUAUGGACUCAAACAUGCUCCGCGAGUAUGGUACGAACGUUUAAAAAAAUAGCUUUUAACAAAGGGCUACAGCCGAGGGGGAGCGGAUAGAACACUUUUUGUGAAACACACGAAAAAUGAUUUUAUUGUGUCACGCCCCGGGGUCCCUUUGUAGAUGAAAACACAGCGGAAAAUUUCUCUUUUUUUUGAAAAUCUGACCCCUAGGGUAUGCCAGAUCCGCCACAAAUAUAGGGAGUCCACUGUUCACACGGAUAGAGUCUCCCCUGUAUUUGCAUGGCGUCGCACAAGUACAAGACGUAUAUCCAGGAUUACAACCACCACAACUGAAUAUAACAUUCAUACAUUCAUACAAUCAUACACAAUUCACCACAGGUUCACAUACAGGAUUUAAAUAUAAAACCACGACUAUUAGUUAAAAUGUUUCCUACCCGAAAACUAGUUUUGAAAUGCUAAGUUACAAAAAUCUCGAGAAAACUCUUUUGAAAGUUAUUUCCCACAAGGGAACUCUUUCUUUUAAAACACGCUACCACGAUGGGUAGAAAAUCAUUUUCCAACCCUUUACAUGAAAACCACGAGUGUUUUAAUUAAUUUCACAAAACCAUGUGUAUACAUAUGUCGAAGUAAACAAAACCAACUGAACCAUAUGUCUAAGAGAUAUUGACAGAAGUAAAUAGGGUAGUAGCUAAACCAACAAAUCAGGUCGGAAGCUCUAUCAACCGCUACCAACGUAUCUCACGUCUCGUCCCAACACUCACCGCCUGCAAUACCUGAAAAAUGGUGGGGGGGGUGAGAACAUGUAAACAUGUCUCCCCUCCCAGUGGGUACCGUAAGCCGACGAAGGCGAGGAGUACUCACCGGAUCAGGAAGAGAUAAACAAGGUAAUGAUCAGAUAUACUGAAUACAGUAGCAAUAAACUGAAAGAAAGUAGAACUAUAACAGAAUAAACGGCUACCGCUACUGUAACUAGAACAGAAAGCAAACAUGGAUAUCCACUAUAGUAGCAAGACAACUGUAAAGCAAAAACUAUAAGUAUGCAUGCAACAACUGCAACUAUAGACAUAUGCGUCAACCGGACGUAUAGAUCAAAUAUACCCAAUCUGGAAUCUGCUACUCUGUUGGUCCGCACCGCAAACCUCAAGCCUGUGCCCACUGCCACUCUAACAUGCACAUAACCCCUCUAGGGCAUCACGGGUUGACACCUGCAACCACUUUUUCGAAAAAGAACACCCUCUUGCGGUGGAUUAGACCGCUGGUGUUCGUGAAAUGCGAACGAGUCUCAGGCAAUUAAUGCUGAUAUGCUCAAAGGCCAACCAUCGGCAACCAGCCAAUAAUCACUGCCCUCGGGGAGAACCGACCAAUAGGUCAUCAACUAUAAGGAAGCACAAGAACUGACCAUUUAUGUCAACUAGGAUGGAACAACUGAACAUACUCUCCAAAGUAUGCAAAUACUGCUCGAUGGGUCAACUAAAGUGUAAAUGCAAGAACCGACGAAUAGGUCACAAGAGUGUAUCAAUCUAAUCCAGAACUACCGUCAGCCACUAGCCGACAAUCCUACCCCUCAGGGUGCACCGACCUCAUAGGUCAUCAAACGACAAGAGUCACAAACUGACUGACUAGAUCACAUACAUGCCAAAGAACCAAUCGAAUGGGUUACAGAUACGAGAUACAAGAAUUGACCAACCAGGUCACCGAUACAAAAUACAACAACCGACCGAUCAGGUCACGAAACAGAUGCAAUGUACUGACCGACUAGAUCACAAUCUCACCAAUAGUUACGGAACCGUUCUACUAUAAAC